CGUACCGUUUCAAGUUUUCUUGGUAAAGAUUAUGUUAAACCUGCACAGCCAGCUAAUGGCACUUUUCUGGCAUCAAAGCCAUUGAAGUUGGAUCCAAGGGAGUUUCGCAUUUCUGCACUUUCAGAGAAGAAACUAAACCGAAACAAUCAAAGGAUGACCAUUUGCAGAAGGAUAUGGAAGAUUUUCUGUUUAAAUUGCUAGGAGAAGGGUUCCAGCUGUACAGGGAUGUGAUUCAGAUGGUUCAUGGUAACGUCUUAAAUAUAUUGAUGCCAAUUUAAUACAUAUUGUCCUUUUCAAUGUUCUUUCUUUCUUUCUCCUCUUUUUAUUCUUCUUCUUCUUCUUUUUUCUUUUCAUGUGCAUCUGAUCACUAAUUUGGUAUUAUUCUUAACUUGCAGAUAGUUGUGGAUAUGAUAUGCAAAAAGGUAAGGACUAUAUCUUCUUGAUGGAGGCCUCUGAUUUUUUAAAUCGCAUUUUCCUUUGUGAUUGAUAUAUCAUACCAAAGUCAAGUCUUAAAUACUGCUGUCAUAUGUUAAGGUUCAACUUCCAUUUUGAUUAACGUCGAUUUGCUACUGCUUCCAAAAGUGAGAAUGAGAUACUUUGGUUAAUUUCAGUAGUUGAACCCAAUAGAGUACUUUAUUUAGAUCUUCAUGGUUCAAAGGCCUGAAAAAACUUGCCGGUGUUUGCAAAAUGACAUUCUGUGCUUUUAUUUAGACUUAUUAUUAAAGACAACAUUUUGUUUCAGCCAAAAAUGUUUGUUUCGAUUAAAGACUGAUUUUAUAUUUCUAUUUUGUAACUUGAAAUAAUUGGUCUGCCUGUUUCUGUUGCUUGAUAACAUGAAUUUUUCCUUCUGAAGUUAAUUUGAUCAAUAAAGUAAUUCUUCGGAGAGGAUAUGCCCAUUCUAUAGUCAUUUUCUUAGCUAACAUGUUUUUUCUUCACUCUUCAGAGCAUGUCUAAACUAAUUGAUCGCUCAGCGGAGACUUUGGGUGAGAAGACAAAAUUUCUUGGUAAAUCCUCUGAAAAGGUAUGCAUAAUUCCCGAGUAUUAAAUAAUCAUUGGUCAUAAUUUUUGUACACGACUCUUUUUUUGGAGAUCGUUAAAAGUGGUUGAUGAUCUAUUUUGUAAUAUCAUAGAGGGAUCAUGAAUUCCUUUUCUUUUCUGUGGCUAGGCAACACUUUCGAGCCAAGCUAAGGAAAUCUAUUUUAGGUAAUGUGAAAACCAGUUGUAGGAUGUAAUAGUUUAUUAUGCCCUGCCAAUAACUUUUUGUAUAAUUGUCAGUUUAAUGAAUACAAGAGGAACUCUGUUGGCAAGUUCAUCCAUGAUAGAUGCUAAAAUUAUUUAUGCAUACCAGUUGCCUUAACUAAUUUUUCUCAACACUGGUAUUGAACAGGAAAAUGAAUAUGCAAUUUGUAUAUUGUGCCAUUGUGGAGAAUUUGGAUAUUCUUAUUUAAGUAACAAGGAGAGUAUUUGCCUCAUCUUUAAACAAUGAAUCUUUGAGAAAUGAGGAGUGGGUGAUUGGCAGUGUCUUCAUGUAAAUGUUCAUUUAUUUGUAUUUUGAACUAUUAUGAGAAUCUUUGUAUGCCAAAUUAGUAAUACAAAUGUUCAGAUGAUUUUUCCUGUUGAUCAUGCGUGUGUAUCUGCACACAACCAUUGUGUACCACUUUAUUCUGAUGCGCAAAUAUCUGUAGUUUAGAAGAAAAGAAAUAAUAAUCAUAUAUUAUUGCUUGGUUCAUGAUUAUUAAACGAUUAUGGCUUUAGAAAAUCCACAAAUCCUUUGUGUUCAUAUAUGAAUGUGCGAAGUUCGCUAUAUCUUAGAUUACCUUCUUCCAAGAUAACAAGUUCAUAUAUUUUUUAAUCCUUUUUCAUCACAGUUGAAUUUCAAGUGUAAGUUUUGUUAUUAAUAGCUGGUUUCCUGUUAUUAUGAUUUCAUAAACAGUAAGAGGAUAUGUGCUCUACUUUUGGAGGGCCUCCACAUGAAAGAAAAUUGCAACAAUUGAAUUCUUCCGGAGGGUAUGGUAUUUAAUUUAUUUUCUCAGCUUGUUGUAAGACUAAUAUAUUUCCUUCAGUACGCACGGCAUGGUGGGAAGGGUUUUUAUUGAAACAGUUAUGAUAUUUCUUAGACUUUGUUUUGGAAGGGGGUGGAGGGAUUUCUCAUCCAUAUAUGGUUACUUGAUUAGCUUUUGACUGUAUUGUCUCCGUCGUGCAAAGGAAAAUCCAAAUACUAACGAAGGGGAAUUGCUUAGGCACCCAAAGGACAGAAAUGAAUUACGGAAGGAAGUUUUUGCUGCUUUAUUUAGUGCUGCUGAGAAAUCUGAUGGAUUUCCUGAAAUUACGGUGAAGACGGAGUGGAGGUCCAACGCAUUAGGAAAGGUGGUGAGUGAACCGCCGGAGGAAUUAGUACCAGAACACAAGGCUAAUGUGGUGCACUGGCAGCAAGAUGACCAGACCUGUAUGUGCUCUUAUAUUAACUAUAUUGGCUGGAUUUGUGAGUGUGUACAUUUUUGUGUGUAUACUCACUUUUGGAUUUAUGCAUAUUAACGUGUGUAGGAUUCUCGAUUUCUGCCACUUACUGGAGAACUAGUGGAAAGCUUUAUACUGAUAUAUGUGCUAUAUAACUAAUGGAAACUACAAUAUGAAUAUUUUCUCUCACCUGGAGAACAGUGUAACUGAUAUAAUUUGUGGCUCUGGAAUACUGAAGAUUCUGCAAUAACUAAUGGAAAAUAUGAUAUGAAUAUUUUUUCUCACCUGGAGAACUUUGUAACAGAUACAUUUUGUGCUGGAAUGUCUAAAGAAUGCUUCAGUUUAGAUCAAAUAUCUUUUAGUUAGAAAAGAUAAAAUUCUCUGAAUCUGAAAGACUGAAACAUUUUGCAUAUUUCGUGAAAGGCAAGUAUCUGUAGAUACUAGCUCAUGCAUUGAGGUAAUAUCAAUGUUAAAGAAAAACAGCAAUAAUUUAUUAUACAGAAUUAGGUUCACUUGCUUUAAAUGCUGGUCUGAUCAACCAUAUCAACCUGUAAUGGUCCUGCAGAAAUAUAUAUACGGGGAGAAACUAGCUAAUUUUCCUUUCACUUAUGGGUUUGGUCUUUUUUUUCCCCUAUUUUUCAGCUUUCCUUCUCCUGAAGUAUGUUAACAAUUGCAGAUAAUGACGAAGAGGACCGCUUCCAGGCUCUUUGUAGAGCUGUGAUGGAAUAUAGGGGCACAAUGAAAGAAUAUUGUAAGGCUGUAUGUACUUUCUCUCAUGUCAUUUAUGUUUUCUCACACAUUUUGUAUAUGCCCUGAACAUGCAGCUUUGUAUGUGUCAAUUGCCUUUUACGUUUUAAAAGCCAUAAAGUAAGAAUACAGUUCCUUGUCAGGCUAUUGAUGCGUUCGCUCAGAAGGGUCAUGUUCAAGCAGGAAAACUUCUAGAACAGGUAAGGUUUCCAUCUACAGCCAUCCAUUGACAGCAGAUAUAUUUUCAUUAAGCAGACACUGUUAGCAUUCAAGAUGCUGGCAGAUUCACUUGAUUCUUAUUAGUUUGUUUAGUGGCAAACCAUAUAACCUGUAUUUCAAAGCCAAGUUGUGCUAUUGAUUAUGUUAACUUUAUUGUUAACAUAAAGUGAUAUGGAGGACAUAAUCAAUGUAGGAAAAUUAGGUGAAGAGAUGAUGUCAAAUCUUGAACCUCUUACAAAGCUCCAAGUUCUUUACUUGAAGAAGCUGCCAAAUUUGAAGAGCGUCUACUGGAAGGCAUUUCCAUUCCCAGAUGUAUGCAGAAUUUUUGUAUUAAUGCCCAGUUCUUAAGAAGCUGCCACUGGAUUUUCAAGGGGCGGGCCAAGGUAAAAUUCUUAUCAAGGGAAAGGAAGAUUGGUGGAAAGAACUUCAAUGGGAGGAUCAAGCAACUCAGAAUGCAUUGCUUCCAUUUUUCAAAUCAACUGACAAGUGAUUGAAGGGGGCAUCAUCAACAUCAUCAACUGGGAUGGAGAGAUUAUGGAGCAGAUCAGCAGGGUUUGUAUAUGAUCUUUGGUGGUUGCUUUCUUUUGUGAUUUUUUUUUUCUCAUUUUUUUCCCUUCCUGUCAUUUUAUCAUUUCUUUGUCUCGUUUUCUAUUGCUGAUGUUAGUGUAUGCUUACUGUUGCUUGACAAAGUUUGCUUGCUUCUUGUUUAUUAAUUUUUUUAUGGUCACAAAAUAUUACUUGUUCUAUUUGAGAGUGAUGUGAAUCAAUUUUCAAUUAUAUAUUUUAUGGUCAAUGUGAAUUCAAUUUCAUUUGUCUCCUGCAAUUAUUUAAAAAAUGCAGAGUCAUAAUAUGGAAAAGUCGACCGGCAAAAACUUUGUGAAAGCUUCGGAGUGAAACAGGGAAUUCACUUACUAACAGGGAAUUCACUUACUACUAAGGACAAUUGGUGGCGAGCUAUUCCAUUCAUUUUAUGUCCAUACAUCUAUUUAAUUAUUAAAGAUAAGUGGUCCAUUUGUAAAUUUCAGAUUGUGUCUCUCUGAAAAUAACAAUAUUUAAAAUGUCUCUUAAAUUAUUAUAAAUUUUAAUUCACUCUCGAUUUAAAAUGGAACAUGCUGAUGAAAUUUUUUUUCUUCUUAAUAAAAUUGAAAUAAAUUGUGUUUGCAGUAGUUUGAAAUAUUUUAAAGAUUAUUAUUUUAUAAGGGAGUAAUAUGAAAUGAAAUUUACUUUUCAUGCGUGAAAUGUUGAAAAAGGACACAGCAAGUGUCCCUGCUUUUAUUUUAUUUCAAAGUGGAGUCAUCUCACAUACUUUAACUCUAUCGUUACAAUUUUUCAGGUUACAUUUUUAUUUAUUUAUUUAUUUUCUUUUUUACACAUGCAUGUGGGUUACUUUUCCGUAAGCUCCUUAAUAUAUAUAUUUAACACAAAUCAUGGAAGAGAUGGGAGUAUAUCAAGAUGAUCAAAGCAUGAAACAAAAAUAUUUAAGAAGUAAAACACUGAAAAUAGAGAAGAGAUGCAAGCAAAAGAUAUUCCAAAGAAAAGCAAUCUAUCUCCUUUCGAAGAAUGUUAUGGAAGAGUUGAACCCAGCGAAGAAUGUUAUGGAAGAGCAAAUUAAUGAUAUUUUUGAUAGAGUCUAUUUGAUUAUGUAGCCUGAAUAGAUGUCUUGUUGAAAGAUAUCUCAGUGCAUUAGUUCAUCCUUGACUGUCAAUGUGUUUUUAAUGGUUUUUCCAAAUUUUUAUUAUUAUAGAUUGAUUGUAAAUUUGAUAUGAAUUUAAUGUUGAAAUGUUUUCUCUUUAGUGGAAUGAAUUUAAAAGUGCAAAAGCUUAUUGCACACAGAGAAAUAAACAUAUAUGCUUUAUAACUUUAGCAAUCGAUUCUUUUACAGCUGGAAACAGAGAUGAUGAUUAUCAUAGGGGUGAAGAAAAGGACAAAAAAUGUUAAUGGUUAACGAAAUUUCUAUGCAAAUUGAUUUUAGCAGGAAAAAAGUGAGCUAAAUGAUCUUAAUGUUCCACAAGAAAAAGCAAGAUCUUAAUGUUCCACAAAAGCGUUAUUUAUUUUUUUUUGGUGAGCCACGUGGAGCUCAAUUAUCAUUGUCUUUACUUUAAAAACGUUAUUUUAUUUUCUUUUAUUACAAAUUAAUGCUAACAAGAAAAAGCAAGAUAUAAUAUUCCACAAAAGCAAAUCGUAAUAUUCCACAGAGGAGUAAGAUCCACAAAAGCAAACAACUAGCUGGAUUCUUUUAUUGAACUACAAAUUAAAACAACAAAUUAAAGUUCAAAUAUUUAAAUAGUAGUGCGUUAGACGAUUAGGCUCUUUUAUUAAAGGGAAGUAUAAAGUAGUCCAGAAUCGAACAUCUCUAUUGUCUAGUCUUUUUUUUUUUUUUUAAUUCUUCUUUUAUUAUUUUUCAGAAUAGGUUUUGGUGAUUACUAUUGGGUUAUUAUUGAGAGUUAUUGUUAUCUUCCGGGGCAGUUUCUGUUAAUCGAAAUCGUUAAUUAAAAUUUUAGAACUCUUAUUGGAAGAAUGUUUUUCCGUUAUUUUUUUAUAUUCUAAUUUCAAUUGUAAGAAGUAGUCAUUUUAGAAUUUGGGUCUUGAAUCGAAUUUCAAUGCAUGAAUUAAUAUUUAAAAAAAAAAUUACUACACGCAGUUUAGGUUACAAACUAUUUUUUGCAAAGUUGAUUAUGAAAUUGGAAAAAUUAAGUAAUUUAUAAUGUUUGCAAAGGAAGAGACUAACAUACUUCCAAUUACACUAUAUCUCUAUUAUCAUAAUGUUAAGAUUAAACUAACUUAAAAUAAAUUUUAUUUGAAAAGUUAUAUCAAACGCAGUCUAAUUUUAUUAACUUGAAGAGAUAAUAGUUAUAGAAAUUAUUGUUCUAACUUAAUUAGUACAAGUGGUAUAAAGGUUAAGUGUGCACUAAAUUUGUUUAAAUUUUUUCCAGAAUAACUAACAGAGGUCAUUACUAGAAUUAUAAUUACUAGUCUAUUAGAUAGAAAAAAUUAUUUAUAUUGUUUUAUAUUUAUUAAAAAAUUUUAAAGUCAAUCUUUUUAAUUAUUAUUUAAAGGAUAUUAUAAUUAAAAAAAAUUUAAUGUCUUUAUUAAAAAUUUAAAAAUUUAAAAAUUUAAAAAUUUACAUGACCGCUCUAUAAAUAUUGAAAGUGUAACUGUCAUUUUCUCAUAUAUAUAUAUAUAUAUAUAUAUAUAUAUAUAUAUAAACCACGGUGGUGAAGCUUUAUUUAAUAUUAAUGAUUUAAAUAACAAUAUCUCAAUUAAAAAUGUAGAGAGAAGAAAUUUCGGUGGGUAUAUUAGUCUUUUACAAUUAUCAUGAUUAACCCUUCCUCUUGUAACGUUGGUCAGAAAAGUUUUAAAAUGCCUUGAUUUCUUUUACUUUUAACGUUAGCGGCCUUCCUUAUAUUUUAUUACAAAUUAGUCCUAACAAGAAAAAGCGAGAUCAUAUUCCAAAAAAGCAAAAGUGACAAAAAAACCAGCUGUAUUCUUUUAUUAAACUACAAUUUAAAAUGAUUUUAAAGUGGAUUCUUUUGAAUACAGGUGGGGUAGUCGAAUAGUCUUUUUCAAAUUCUUGUUUUAUUAUUUUUCAAAACUAGUUUUUGGUAAUUACAAUCGGGUCAUUCAUUAGUCAUUAUUCAGAGUUAUUGUUAUCUUCGGGGGCAGUGGGUAAAAGGCUAAAUGAUAAUUACUAAGUGUUUUUCCUUCAAAAGUUAGUGGCUCGUGUUUUGCAAGUGUGUACGUGCGAUGCUCUUUGUCUAAAGGCAAUUACAGUGGGUCCCGAAUCGGACGUGCCUAAUAAAUCUUUUAAAAAUUUUUCUAAUAAAUAUUCCUAAAAUUUCUCUUCCACAGGCAAUUACAGCAGCUUCAGUUAAUCAAACUCAAUCAAUUUUCUUUCUUAACAAAAUUCCAAAGAUGUGUGGCUGUUUUCAGAUCACAUGCGAUGGUACUUUUUUCAAUCGUUGCUUAGAUUGCUUUCUUGGAAAAGCAGCAUACAUACGUAACCUCCAAGAUAACCUCGUUGCCUUGGAGACUGAACUAAGGAAACUAAUCGCAGCAAAGAACGAUGUGAUGACGGCGGUUGUCAAUGCUGAACGGCAACAAAUGAGAAGGCUGGAACGAGUGCAAGUGUGGGUUUCGAGUGUGGAUUCUGUUAAAACUGGAGCCGAUGAACUUAUCACAGACGGCUCUGAAGAAAUUGGCAAAUUAUGUGUUGGAGGCUACUGUUCCAAGAACUGCAGGUCAAGCUACAAGUUCGGAAAACAAGUGGCUGAAAAGCUACAACAUGUGAAGAAUUUAAUCGCCGAGGGAGUUUUUGAGGCGGUGGCCACUGAGGUGGUGCCCGAGAGAGCUCCGGAACCUGUAGCAGAUAAAAGACCCAUUGAGCCAACAAUAGUAGGCUUGCAAUCACAGCUUGAAGAAGUUUGGAGAUGUCUUGCAGAAGAAUCAGUGGGAAUCAUUGGCCUAUAUGGUAUGGGCGGUGUUGGUAAAACCACACUAUUGACCCAUAUCAACAAUAAAUUUCUUGAGAGUCCCACAAACUUUGAUUGUGUGAUUUGGGUCGUAGUUUCAAAAGACCUGCGACUUGAAAAAAUUCAAGAAGAUAUUGGGAAGAAGAUAGGUCUAUCUGAUGAUUCAUGGAAGAAUAAAAGUUUUGAAGAGAAAGCUGUGGACAUCUUGCGGAGAUUAGGAGAGAAGAGAUUUGUAUUGUUGUUAGAUGAUAUAUGGGACCGGGUUGAUUUAACAAAGGUGGGCGUUCCACUUCCCGGACCACAAAAUACUACCUCAAAAGUCGUAUUCACAACCCGUUCCAUCGAUGUUUGUGGCAGCAUGAGAGCUAGGCCGGUUAAAGUGGCAUGCCUAUCAGAAAAGCAAGCUUGGGAACUGUUCCACGAAAAUGUUGGGGAAGAAACUCUUGAGAGUGAUCAUGAGAUCGUUGAGCUAGCCCAAACAGUGGCCAAAGAGUGUGGUGGUUUGCCACUCGCACUUAUUACUAUUGGUCGAGCUAUGGCCUACAGAAAGAAAGCGGAGCAGUGGAGACGUGCAAUUGAAGAGUUAAGAAGAUCAGUUUCAGAGUUUGCAGGUUUGGGAAAAGAGGUGUAUCCUUUUUUAAAGUUCAGCUAUGAUAGUUUGCAGUAUGAUACGGUUAGAUCUUGUUUCUUGUAUUGUUGUUUAUAUCCUGAAGAUUAUGGCAUUCUUAAAUGGGACUUGAUUGAUUGUUGGUUUGGCGAGGGAUUUUUUGGGGAAUCUGACAGGUCUGGUGCAGAAAACCGAGGAUAUGGCAUUUUGGACACUCUUGUUCGUGCAUGUUUAUUAGAAGAGGUGGAAGAUGAUAAAGUAAAAAUGCAUGACGUUAUUCGUGAUAUGGCUAUAUGGAUAGCUUGUGAAAUUGAGAAGGAGAAGAGAAACUUUUUGGUUUGUGCAGGUGCUGGAUUAAAAGAGGCACCGGAUGUUAAAGGAUGGGAAAAUGUGAGAAGAUUGUCAUUGAUGCAAAACCAAAUUAAAACUCUGUCAGAGGUUCCUACAUGCCCUCAUCUCCAUACUCUAUUUCUUGACUUUAAUAAGGAGUUGGAGACGAUCGCGGAUGGCUUCUUCCAAUUUAUGCCUUCUCUCAAAGUUUUGAAGAUGUCAAACUGUGGGCAUGUCAAAGUUUUGAAAUUACCUAUUGGGAUGUCAGAGUUGGGUUCAUCACUAGAACUUCUUGAUAUUUCAAAUACCAACAUAACAGAGUUACCAGAAGAGUUGAAGUUGUUGGUAAAUCUGAAAUGUUUGAAUUUGAGGUGGACAAUUUGUUUAAAUAAAAUUCCAUGGCAACUAAUAUCAAAAUUUCAAGGUUACGUGUGUUGAGAAUGUUCGCUACUGGCUUUGCACGUUUUGAUGCAGCAUCAGAAGACAGCGUUUUAUUUGGUGGGGGUGAAGUUUUAGUACAGGAAUUGGUCGGUCUGAAAUAUUUAGAGGUAUUGGAGUUGACCUUGGGAUGUCAUCAUGCUCUCCAAAUUUUUUUGAGCUCAAAUAAGUUAAAAAGUUGUAUUCGAUCUCUUCUCCUCCAAUUGGCCGGAGAUACAAAGUCGAUUAUUGAUGCUACGGCUUUCGCAGAUCUAAACCACCUCAAUGAAUUAUGGAUUGAUAGGGCUAAGGAGUUGGAAGAAUUGAAGAUUGAUUGUAAAGAAAUAGUACAAAAAAGGCGGGAACCUUUUGUUUUCCGCAGCCUUCACCGUGUUACUAUACAUAGCUGCCAGAAGUUGAAAGAUUUGACAUUCCUCGUUUUUGCUCCAGACCUCAAGUCUCUCGAUCUAGACCGUUGCGAUGCUAUGGAAGAAAUAAUCAGCGUCGGAAAAUUUGCUGAGACUCCUGAGAUGAUGGGACAUAUAAGCCCUUUCGAAAAUCUCCAAACUCUUCAUUUAAGAGCGUUUAACAUCUUUUCUCGACGACCUGCACGAUUGCCUUUCACUCAUCUGAAGGAAAUGGAGGUAAGUGGGUGCGAUCAGCUUAAAAAGCUUCCACUCGAUUCCAACAGUGCAAAAGAGCGUAAAUUUGUUAUUCGUGGAAAAGAAGACUGGUGGAACCGACUUCAAUGGGAGGAUGAAGCCACUCAAAUUGCUUUUCGUUCCUGUUUCCAACCUGAGCGGUUAGUCGCAAAAUUUGAUUUCUGGUGAUUGCGUUUGUCUUUUAACUCUUAUAUAUAUUCUUGUCGUUUGUUUUCUUCUCUGUUUUUAACUCUUAUAUUGCGUUUGUCUUUUGAAAAUCUCCAAUUAAAUGUUGAAUUAAUGGAAUUAAUGCUUCAUAAAUUUGCCGGCACUGCCAUCACUUUUUUUUUUUUUAAUACAAAUUGAUACUUUAUUUAUAUCUUCUUAGCGAUAUAAUUUCCUGUCAAUUGACGAACGAGAAGAACAUACGACUUAAACCAAUUCACGCAUAAACUUGCUGUAAAAAGAUAUAAUCUCACUGAAAUGCACACGUCUAGAAUGAAUAGAAUUAAAACAGGGAAAAUAUUUAAGUAUAUUAGCCCUCUUUACCGAAAAUGAAAUGACAAUAAAUUUUUUGAAAGUUUUGAUUUUCUAUGGUCAAUUCCACCUUUUGCAAUUUCUUCUGUUCUAACAAAAACCAAUUUCUUUGUUCAAGUAUUUUCGUUUGGGUAUUAAUAAUUCUCCACCGAAAGAGUGAACUCUUGCUCAAGGGAUCUCUAAUCAAUAGCCGGAAGGGCGCCGAGACCUGAUCGGACCUAGGCCCAAGUUUGGUCUUAAAGCCUGGGCUUGAGCCUGGCAAUUAAAUUAAAACAUUAAUUGAUUUCUUGAUUGAAUUGUCGUGUAAUUGAUUUAUGGGGGAUGACACAUCAACAUGCUUGAAAACACACUAAUCUCAGCAUCAUCGGUUAAUAACUUUUAGAAUUAUGGGUAAUCAAUAGUUAAGAUUAGUUGUCAUUAAUACUAAAUAUUUUUUUACUAUUUUCGUCUCUUCUAGAGGAUCUUCUAGAAAAAUGCAUCCACAACAAAAUUUAAUACUUUACAUAAUAAACAAAGCAUAAAUGUUAAAUUUAAGAAACUGCAUUGUAUUUCAGCUGAAGUUGACUUUAAUAUUUAGGGUAGAAAAAUAAUAAAUCCUUAAUGUGUUUAAUUUCUAUCACUUGUGUCAUUAAAAUUUUCUAGUCACCCUAACCAAUUACAUCUCAACCCACUUUUUUUUGGAUGAUUUUAUUUUUACACUAUUAUUUUCAUCAUUUUUUUUCCUUUUAACACCAACAUUAGUGUAUGUUACGUAACAUAAUUCAUAUUUGGAUAAUUUGAAAUUUGUUUGUGUUUUAUCUCAAAAUAGAGCUUCAAUCAAUUUGUACCUCAUAAAUUCACAAUAUCUAUGAGGGCUAAUAAGACCAAACUCUGGCAUAUUGUCAAAUGUGCUUAUCCUUUUGCUUGACAUGUCAUUUUAAAAUUGUCAUUCAAUGCCAAAAAAUCACAUCAACUGAUGGCCGACUACUUUAAUUUGAAAGCAUGCAUGCGAUCGCCAAUAAUUAUAACUUAAUUGUUAUUUUGAAAUUUUUUUCUUUAUAAUUUUUAAGUUUAAUACUACUACAUGUGCAGCACAUAAGUUGGAAAAUAUAACAUAAAAUUUGAAAAAUGUGUAGCUUUCGUUCCUUUUUUUUCUUAAAAAUGAGGAAAAAGAAUGUAAUUUUGUUUAAAUUACUGUUGUGAUAACAAUUAUUAUUUUAUUGAUUAAUUGGCAGAGAAUGGUUAUGGUUUCGCAUGGUUGUUAAAACAUUGGAAAAUCCACUACAUCAUCCGUUAAUAACUUUCAGAUUUAUGGUUAAUCAAUAGUUGAGAUUUGUUAUCAUUAAUGUUAAAUAUUUUUUUAAUAUUUUUUCUCUCUCCUAGAGGAUCAUCACAGCAAAAAUUUAAUAUUAUAAAUAGUAAACAAAAUAUAAACAGUUAAAUCUAAGAAACUGCAUUGCAUUUCAGCUGAAGCUAACUUUAAUAUUUAAUGGAGAAAAAUAAUUAAGUCCUUAAUGUACUUUAUUUACCCAUACUGAUACGCUCUUAAUUCGUGAAACUGAGCAACAUCAAAAUUAUCACUACUUCGAGCGAGUGUUUGCUCCAGAAGAAAGAACUGGAAGUUGAGAAAUGAGAAAGAAGAAAAGAAGAAGAGUCACAGCGAGGAAUAAAAGUGGUCCAUUCAUUUCAUGCCUUCCCAAAAUGACAAAAUCCCGCAAUAUAUAACAGACAAUCGAAAAUAACCAAUUUGACAACGCAACAGAAAAUGACAAAAAAGAAUCCAAAACAAACGUAGCCAAUCACAAUGCUUUUACAGAUCAUCCUAAACGACGUAGUCUCGUAGCCAAUCUAGAAGUUUCUUGUUUCGUUUGGGCCGUUGAUUCUCUUGCACUGGCUCAUGGUGAAUGUCCUCUUUGGGUUGACUGACUGUGGGUUCUCGGUUGAGCUCUUCCACUUGCGCCCCCUCUAAUGGCUCUAAUUUGAUAUAUAAAUUCGUAUCAUUCCCUCCUGCUUGAAAACACACAUUGUCCUCAAGGUGAAAUGCUGGAUAGAGCUUACAAAAGGCGUCAAAGUUUUCCCAAGACGAAUUCUUCGGUGAACUGACGGUCCAUUGAACUAACACUUGAAGCGUUGGCUUCCCCUGUUGCAAAACUAUUCGGGUUGCACAAAUGGCAGCCGGUAGCAAAAGAGGAUGGUUAUCCACACUCAACUCUGGUAAAGGAUGUGAAAUAGCAGGGUCGUUGCCAUGAUAAUGCUUAAGGACAGAGAUGUGAAAAACCGAGUGGAUUUUGGAAGUAUUGGGUAACUCCAAUUUGUAAGCUACAUACCCCACUCUAGCAAGUACCGUAAAUGGCCCGUAGUAUCACUUGGCCAACUUCUGACAGGCGCGAGAAGCUAUAGUGGUCUGUCGAUAUGGCUGUAAUUUAACCAGCACUUUAUCCCCUACUUCAAAGUGAGCUUCACGGCGAUGGGCAUUAGCUUUCUGAGCCAUUCGAUGUUGUGCUUGCCUCAAAUUAGCUUUUAAAGAUUGGAGAAGAGUAUUACGUUCAAGGAGAAUGUCCUCCAAAGUUUGGAUUGAAGUAGAGCCCUUAGCAUAAUGAGGAAUAGUUGGAGGCAAUCGGCCAAAUAAAGCUUGAUAGGGAGACAUCUUCAAGCCACUGUGGAAAUGAGAAUUAUAACUAAAUUCUGCCCAACUCAGUAAGGAAACCCACUUCCGUGGUUUGUCUUGAGUGAAAGCUCGUAAAUAUUGCUCCAAUCCUCAAUUUACCACUUCCGUUUGACCAUCCGUUUGAGGGUGGUAUGCCGUGCUAUGACGAAGAGUUGUGCCACUUAAGAGGAAUAAUUGUUUUCAAAAAUUGCUCAAGAACACUGGGUCUCGAUCGGAGAUAAUUGAACUUGGAAAACCAUGUAUUUUAAUGACCAUGUCCACAAAGAGUUCAGCUGUCUUGAGGGCAGUAAAUUGACAGGGUAACGGACCAAAAUGGGCAAAUUUUGUAAGACGAUUGACAACAACCAAUAUGACCGAGAAACCUUGUGCUAACGAAAGACCUAUAACGAAAUCCAUUGUGACCUCAUCCCAAACCAUAUUAGGUAUCGGCAAUGGUUGAAGAAGACCAGCAGGGGCUUGAGUGGAAUACUUAGUUUGCUGGCAUAUUAAACACUCUCGGAUAAACGUUUCCACAUCAUGACGCAUCUUGGGCCAAUAGAAUGUUGAAGAUAAUCUGAUUAAGGUUCUAGUGACACCCACAUGACCUGCCAGUGGUGUAGAGUGAAAUUCUUGCAAUAGUACGACUUUUAAAGAGGAGGUAGGACUGAUGUAAUAACGCUGACGGUGGAGAAGAAAUCCGUUUUGAACAGAGAAGUCAACUGACAGUUUGCCUUGUAAAAGUUGCUGGUGAAGUGAUAUUAAAUCAGGUAAUGUGGUAUUCUCAUUAAGUAAUGACUGCAGCAAUUCAAAUGAAGGAUGGCUGUUGAAAGAAAGGCAAGUGGGGGAGAUGUUGAUGUUAUCCUCAGGAGCUGUUUCAUGGACACGGGAUAGAGCAUCAGCGGCGCUAUUGGUACAACAUGGUCUGUACUCAAUUCUGAAUUGGAAACCCAAUAAUUUGCGGAGAUAAACUUGCUGAUCUAGUGUUUGUAUCACUUGUUGAAGGAGUUCUUUGAUACUCUUAUGAUCCGUGCGGAUAACAAAGAAUCGGCCCAACAAAUACUGCCGCCACUUAUACACAGCUUCUACAAUUGCAUGCAACUCCUUGAUGUAAGUGGAAGAAGCCCGCAAUUUGGGACCCAACUUCUUGCUGAAAUAAGCAAUUAAAUGCCCAUGUUGUGUAAGUACAGCUCCUAUGCCUACAUUAGAAGCAUCGGUCUCAAUGACGAAUUCGAAAGUAAAAUUCGGCAACUUAAGGACUGGAGCUUGCACCAUUGCUUGUUUAAGAGCUUCAAAGGCCUCCAUGGCUGUCAAAUUCCAUUGAAAGGCAUCAUUUCGCAGCAAAUCAGUGAGUGGGGCUGCCAAGGAAGCAUAACCACGGAUGAAGCGCCUAUAAUAUCCAGUGAGACCAAGAAAACCCCUCAACUGUUUGAUAGAACGUGGAAUUGGCCAAUUAAGCAUGGCAUCAAUCUUUUGGGGGUCGGCUUGUACUCCCGAGGCUGAAACAAUACGGCUUAGAUACUCAAUAGCGGCUUGGCAAAACAAACAUUUGGAUAAUUUAAUAAAAAAUUGAUGAAGAUGUAAACAAGCUAAUACUUUCUCAAGAUGAAGCAAAUGCUCGGCCAUGGAGGAGCUAUAAACCAAGAUAUCAUAAAAAAAAACGAUCACAAAUUUCCGGAGAUGAGCUGCAAAAAUCUGAUUCAUUGUGGCUUGAAAAGUGGAUGGGGCAUUUGUCAACCCAAACGGCAUGACAAGAAACUCAUAAUGGCCCUCAUGUGUUCAAAAUGUCGUUUUGUAUAUGUCGCGGUUGUGGACACGAAUUUGAUGGUAUCCCGCGCGCAAAUCCAAUUUGCUAAAAAUGGUGGCGCCCCCAAGUUCAUCAAACAACUCAUCGAUUGUCGGUAUAGGAAAUUUGUCUUUGAUGGUUACGGCAUUUAAUGCACGAUAGUCAACACAAAACCGAUAGGUGCCAUCUUUUUUCUUGACCAAGAGAACCGGGGAGGAAAAAGGGCUUUAGUUCGGUCGGAUUAUGCCCUACUCUGACAUUUCCCUGAUCAGUUUUUCCAUUUCAGAUUUCUGGAAGUGUGGGUAGCGGUAUGGACGAACAUUGACGGGGGCUGUGUUGGGUAAUAAAUGGAUUUUGUGGUCAAUAGUUCUGUGCGGUGGUAGGCUAGAAGGUUGGAGAAAUAGGUGUUUGUAUUGCUGUAAAAGGUUGAGAAAUUGAGCAGGAAGGGAAAAAGGAAAUUCAAGUGAGGAAGUGUCUGUGAUGGAAAAUGAAGGCAAAGCAUCGAUAGCGGGCACUGGUUGUAAGGCACAAAGGCUGGUCACGGUAUCACUUUGAACCAAUACCUGCAAUUGAUUAUAAGUGAUCAAAUUAUUAGAAGACAAAUCACCAUGAAGCAUCACUGGUUGCUCAUUUAAAGAAAACUCCAUAGGACACUUUGCCCAAUUUCUGUAGCCAUUGAAUGCCAAGGACCACAUAUGUGCCCUCAAUUGGCAAAAUGAAGAGGUCUACCAUAAAAGCCGUGCCUUGCAUUGUUAAGUUCACUUGAGGACAGAACUGUUUACACACCAGGAAGUCACCGUUGCCAAUAUACACUCGGAAAUUGGUAGUUGGAUGAAUGGCUAACCCCAAUCGUUCCGCUAACGCCGGUUUUAUGAAAUUGUGAGUGUUGCCACUAUCAAUCAGCACUUGAAAGGUGUGCGAAUCAAUUUCUCCAAUUAAACGAAGAGAGCGAGGAUUGGCCUGCCCUGCUAGAGCAUUUAAGCUAGAGAUGUCACCAGUAAUACCAGCAUCUACCAAUUCUGAUGGUUCCUCGUUAUUUUUGGGUUCCAAUUCUUCAUCAUCCGUGCCCAUGAGAAGUAGAAAUUUACUGCGACAGAGAUGAUUGUUGCUGUAUUUUUUGUCACAAUUGUAACAUAAACCCUUCUCGCGUUUGUCGCAAAGUUCAGCCGAAGACAAACGGCGAAUUGGUAAUGUUGGUGUCGAUAAUAAUGCAGGUAAAGUGUUUGAUUUAUUGGUAUUGUGGGUUUGUGAGGGAAGAGUUGAAGAUGAUACGGGGGUGAUGGCUGUGGUAACAGUUGCAAGUGAUGAGGAUGGAUAAAUGGGUUUGGGUUGUGUUUGGAAACCAUGUGAAAGGGGAUAUGGUUGCUGCCAUUUAGGCCAUGAGCGUGAGCUCUGUUUCACUUCGUCAUAUUUGGCCUCAAAAGCACGAGCUAAAGUUUCCAUUAGUGAAGACGGUCUAGAGAAAAGCAAUUCCCGUCGAAUGUUGGGUUUCAGACCAGUGAUGAAAAAACUAAUCAAAAGAAGUUCAGAAAUUCCAGUGACCUUGUUCAUUAAAUCUUCAAAAGCUGACUGGAAAUCUGCAACCGUGGUAGUUUGACUCAAUUUGGACAAAUCACCUUGGGGAUCUUCACACAAAGAAGCACCAAAACGAUAGCGCAAGUUAGCUAAAAAUUCUUGCCAAGUAGUGAGCAAGUGAUUGUUCUUUAUCCAUUGAUACCACGCUGCAGCGCGACCCUCCAUAUGAAAAGAGACAAUCCGUAGUCGGAGGAUCUCAGGUGUGUCAUGAAAGUCAAAAAAUUCUUCUAUUCGAAAAAUCCAUCCAUUUGGGUCAGACCCAUCGAAUUUGGGCACAUCCAUUUUCAUGGAACAAAGUACUGGAGAAACUUUAGAACCAGUAAGAACGCCAUCAUAUUUAGAAGAUGAAGGGUGUGAAGGGUUGGAGGAACCAACUGGUUUGUUGGAAGACCCAUGAAUUUAUGUACGUAACUCCUCAAAACGAGAGUCAACUGAUGUCAUGAAUUGUUGGAUUGUUUGAUGGAUGGACAGUUGCUACCCAUCAAGUUUGGCGUCAAAAGUUGCUUGAAGGGUCUGUAAAGCAUAAAGAAUUUCAGAAUUUGCCAUGAUCAAUGAAAGCACCAGUGAUACGCUCUUAAUUCGUGAAACUGAGCAAUAUCAAAAUUAUCACUACUUCGAGCGAGUGUUUGCUCCAGAGGAAAGAACUGGAAGUUGAGAAAUGAAAAAGAAGAAAAGAAGAAGAGUCACAGAGAGGAAGAAAAGUGGUCCAUUCAUUUCUUGCCUUCCCAAAAUGACAAAAUCCCGCAAUAUAUAACAGACAAUAAAAAAUAACCAAUUUGACAACGCAACAGAAAAUGACAAAAAAGAAUCCAAAACAAACGCAGCCAAUCACAAUGCUUUUACAGAUCAUCCUAAACGACGUAGUCUCGUAGCCAGUCUGGAAGUUUCUUGUUUCGUUUGGGCCGUUGAUUCUCUUGCACUGGCUCAUGGUGAAUGUCCUCCUUGGGUUGACUGACUGUGGGUUCUUGGUUGAGCUCUUCCACUUGCGCCCCCUCUGAUGGCUCUAAUUUGAUAUAUAAAUUCGUAUCACAUACAUGCGGUUAAUUUUUUAAGAUAAAGGGGAAGGAUGAUGCUCAAAAAUAUAAAUUAUAGAAUUAAUUGAACUCUCAAAUAAGUUUAAAGUUCAUUAUUUUUAAUUACAUGUUUAUAAUUUAUUUUUAUUUCGUAUUAAUCUAUAGAUCUAAAUCCACUUUGGAUUCAUAUACACAUAUAGACAUAAUGUGUAUGUUAAUCUAUAGGUCUAAAUUCACUUUAGGUCUAUAUAGGUAUUUUGACAAAUGUACUCCAAUCAUGCAUAUUGGCAAGUUCAAAUUCAAUUUGGAAUAUGGUCAUGGUACGUUCUUGUUCUUCCCUCUUUACGAGUGCAUUCCCCCCAACCUCAAGCUCCCUCUCUCGUCUUCAAUGUCACUGCUUAUAUCCUUAUGUUGUUCUAGUUUGAAACAGUGGCUUCCACUAUUUCAGGGCCCCCAAAAAUCCAGAAACAUACUAUUCAUCACGAUGACAAAAUUUUGGGCAGGCAGGUGCUUCCUGACUUUCACACGGUAAUUCUCAAAUUCUGAUUUCACCAUAUUUUAAUUACUGAUUAUGCUCUCCAUUAUAAUAGAAGUCGCCGCCACACUAGUGAUUCCAAACUUUAUCUUUUUUCCUUUUUUAAAUUAAUGCAAGUAGCCGCUGUCCUUUUUAUUAAUUAAUUAAUUCGGCCGCCCACAUUUCUUUUUCUAAUGUCUUCUACUGUCGAGUUUAUUUUAUUUUCCCUUUAUUCUUAAAAUAUACUUAUAAUAAUAAAAUAUAAAAAUAAAAAUAAAAAUUAACAUAUCAAAAUAUAAUUUAACAGAAAAUUAAGAUGAAAAAUAAAAAAAAAUAAAUUCUGAACAUAUCAAUCAAUAAAUGAAAAAUAAUAAUUUUUAUUUUUAUUAAAUAUAUUUUUUUCAGUAUUAAUCAAUUAUCUGAAUAACUAAAAUCAUUUAAAAAUAAAUAAACAAAUUAUUCUUUAUAAAAAAAAAAAACUUUUUAUAACACUCACUAUGCUGGUUGUAGGGUAGACGCUUUGGGGACUGAAGUUGGUAACUUCUACAAGUAGUCUUAAGUUGAUAACUUCUACAAGUAGUCUUAAGUUGACUGGCAAAUGUUCUCAGUAUUAUAUUGGUGUGUCGAUAUUAUCUCUAACUGCCUUAUAGAUAAAAAAAUAAUCUAAAUUUAAAAUUUAACAUAAAAUAAAAUAAUUGGUAGAAAAACAAUUAUGGUUCAUUUACUUAUCAGUAAUCAGAAUAGACUGAAAUCGAAAUGAGUUGUAUUACCGUUGAUGUGUUUAUGUUGUCCUCGAAUCGGAAUGAAUUAUUUUAAGUUACUAAAAUAUCCUUGGUUUGUUAUUCUAAUUAUUAUUAUUUAAUAUUUAUUAUAAUAUUUGUCAUAUCAUUAAAAAGAAAUAAUAAUGAUGAUAAUAUUAUCAUUAUUGUUUGUUACAUUAUUAUUAUUCAAAAAAAUUAUUGUUAAUAACAAUAAUUACUUUAUUUCAAUACUAAUAAUGAUAAAAUUAAUAAUAACAAACAACAAUAAUUAUUUAUUAUGCCAAAAAUAACAAUAAUAAUAAUCAUCAUCAUUUUUUUUCCCAAAGAAGCAUUAUCAUCAUUUCAAAAAAAAUAUCAUCAUUAUCAUCAUCAUUUUUGUAGUGGCUGCCUAUCGGCUGUUGCUUUCAUGUGAGAUUGACUUGCGACGCUUCAACGGCUAUUAUUUCUGGCAAUGUCAGGUGUUACUGUUUCAAUUUAGGAAGAAGCUGUUUCGUUGUGCUAACGAUGGGAGAUGUUGUGGCUGCGAUUCGGGGAGCUACUAGUUUAUUGCACUAAUGACGGCAGGUGCUGCUGCUUGAUGCGAGGUCCAUGGCCAGUUGUCAGCAGUUCGACUUUGGUAUGGGUGCUGCUGGUUCGAUUUUAGGUGUUGUCCAAUUUCAUUUUCAGGAUUUUAAUUUUAUUUUUCUUUUAUAUUUUCAUUAAUUAAUCAGGACAAAGUUGGAUUUUAGAAUUUGGAAUGAAGGUAAUUUUGUUAAUCAUGGAAAUGAGAUUCUGAUUGUCGAGAAUGAGCUUACACAAACAACUACAAAUUAAGUGAAAACAAAACGCUUUUUCUCUUUGUGUGAUUAAAACAUGAUAUGUACCAUAAAUAAAUAGGUAAAAAAUAAAUUAAUACAAUCCAAAACAGUAAACUAAUUACAAGAGGCACAAAUUUUUAUGUGAAAUACCAAAAAUAGAAAAAACCACAGCAUCUUAGUAUGAGAUAAUCUUCUACUAUAUUAAUGAGAUUAUAGCACAAAUUCUUCCUUAUAUAACACUAGAGGUUAACAACAUCAAGAAUUUCAAUAAUCUUGACUUACAAUACAGCCUAAUAUUUGUCUCUCUAAUAAGUAGAUAUCUAAAAUAACAGUCUCUAAUAAAUAAGUAUCUCAAAUAACAGUCUCUAAUAAGUAUCUCAAAUAAUAAUUUCUAAUAAGUAUGUAUCUCAAAUAAUAGUUAACAAGAGGAUAAAACAAAAAUUAAGAUUAGUAGGAUUGUAUAAGGCGAUGCUAUCAACUUAUCUUCUAAAUUUGAGAAAAAUAGUUAAAUUCACUUUUUCGAUUGUGACCAAAGAUGGAAACCUUUGCCCCAAAACCAAAGGAAUCACCAUUUCUCUCUCUCUCUCUCUCUCUCUCUCUCUCUCUCUCUCUCUCUCUAUCUCUCUCUCUCUCUCUCUCUUCUUCUACUUUUCUUAAUGUUAGCCGCCACUCGCUUUUAUUCUUUAUAGCAUUUAAAAAGCUACUUUUAAUGGUAAAUUUCAUUUAAGUCCAAAACUUAGUGAUAAUUGUACACCAAACAAUUCUUUUUGGACUAUGAGCUUUUGGGCCUCCAAAUGAGAUGAAUACAACAAAUCUCCCCCUUUAGAUCAUGUGGGGGGCACCACAAGCCUGCUCUCUGCAUAUAGUUUUUCAACUUCUCCUUGAAUAAUGACUUUGUCAUCAUACAUAACCCAUUCUCUGUUGUGUAAAUUUUCUCAAGCUGUAGCUGUUGCUUCUCAAGCACGUCUCGUAUCUAAUGAUAUCUCACAUCAAUAUGCUUAGAUUUCGAAUGGUUUAUCAAAUUCUUUGAACGGCACUCUGACUGUCGCAGUACAUAACAUAGCUGUCUCGUUUUACACCCAGCUCUUAUAGGAAAUUCAUUAUCCAUAAUAUUUUUUUGCAACCUUCAAUAAUUGUUAUAUCAUUUGCUUUAGUGGUAGAAAACGUAACUUAUUACUAAAGUUUAGAUUGCAAUGAGACUUCUCCCCCUGCAAAAGUGAGCAAACAUCCUAGAAGGAAUUUUUCGGAAUCAACAUCUUCUGCCAUAUCUACACACUUGUAACACAGGUUUGUCACCACUAAAAUAUAAACAUGCUCUGGAAAUGCCUCUAAGAUAUCUGAGAAUUUUUCAUUGUUGUCCAAUGCUCUUUUAUAAUAAAUACAAACAUAAUGAAUUUAUAAAACAUUUAGAGUAUUUUGAAUAUUAUAUAAAAUAAUUUUAAUAUAAUGCAUGAGAUAUAUUUUAUUAAUUUAAAAUGCUAUUUAAUCUAAAGAUUUAUUUAAGAUAAAUUAAUAAUUAAAUUUUUUUAAUUAUUUCAAAUAUUAAAAAUUUGUAAUAUUAUUAGUCUAUUAGAUAGAUUAAAUUAUUUAUUUUAUUUUGUAUUUAUUAAAAAAUUUUAAAGUCAAUAUUUUUAAUUACUAUUCGAAGGAUAUAAUGAUUAAAAAAAUCUUAAUAUUUUUUAUUAAAAAUUUAAAAAUUUACAUGACCAUUUCUAUAAAUAUUUAGGGUAUAUAUGAGCCACGGUGGAGAAGAUUUAUUUAAUAUUAUUGAUUUAAAUAAUAUCUAAUUAAAAAUAUACUGAGAAAAAAUUUCGGUGGGUAUUUUAGUCUUUUCAGCAAUCACAUGAUUAGCCUUUGGGCUUUGGCCUUGAAACGUCGGUCAGAAAAGUUUUAAACUGCUUAAUUGUUUUUCACUUUUAACGUUAGUGGCUGCUUAUAUUUUAGGAAAAUGAGAUUCUCACCACAGUGAGAACCACACUGAGCACAGAACGGUGCGUUUUGUGCUCAGUAUAAAUUCUAACUGUAGCGGAAAUAUCGCAACACAAACGCGCCAUUCCAAACCCACGCGCGUUCUCCCUCACGCCAGCAAAUCUCACCACGCUUCCUCCUCACUGUAAGCGCCCCCCCUCCCCGGGGGCGGUCGGCUGCGUCACGCUCCCUCACGGCGCCUCACUCUCUCGGCUCUCUUAGAAAAUUGAAUUGCGGCUUCCGCCGUGGGGUUCUCUCCUCAACUGCCGUUGUCUCGUCUCUGACAGCUGCCUUAAUCAAAUUCUGAAGGUAGUUUGCUUCAAUUCAUUACAUUAAUUUCAAAUUUGGUUUGUGUGGGAUUAUGAGUUUGUGAAGAUUUAGUUCUGUUUCAUGGUAAACUAUUUUUUGCUCAGUGUGUUGAGAAUAUCAGCACGGUUUAAAAUUCUUUUUAGAUUCUGUCGUAAAGUUUUCUUUGUAUUGGGCAAGUCAGUUACUUUAGUUUUGUGUCUGAAAACAAAAACACUUAGCUUAGUGAGUUUUAAGAGAUUUUGCUAUUUUGUUCAACGAAGCUUAAAAAGGGGAAGCUUUUAUGGCGUCUGUGAGCCGAGGCAAUUUGGAUCGGGUGCUUUUUCAGUUCAUUUGUUUGUUUCUUAUUUGGGUUCUUUAUUGUUAGAUGUUCUUUUGAGAUUCUGGCAUCUGGCAUCUGGCUACUUGCUUUUGUGGAGUUUUUUUAUUAUUUGAAUUCUGUGAAUUCUUUGUUUUCUUUCCCAAAUGAUUCCACUCUAUAAAAUAUAUAUUGUGCUUGGCUAGAAUUUUCUUUUAGAUAAUUGCAUCCUGUACAUUGGCUUAACCUGUCAAGAAUGAGAAUGAUGGAAGAUGCCUAUCUUGGAAAGAAUAUAUUGAGUUACAUAGUACCGGUUCCAAAUGAAUAAAUUGGAACUUGCCUAAAACAGGCACCAAUCCACCAUGACACCAAGCCUUUUUAAAAUUUUUUUUUUUUUAAGUUUAAAGAAACUUAUGUUGCUUCUUUAGAUCUGUUUUAGCUUAUGAUGAAUUUUGCUAAUGGUAAAAUCCCUCCCCUUCAAAGUUGGGGGAGGGGAAGCAUCUAUAUGCAUAUGUGUACAUUAUGGAGCUCGAACUACAUGUCGCAGUAAUACAUUAUUCUCUUUGCUUUGCAGGUUUUGAUCAACAUGAGUGAUUGGGAUGUAGGUCUGUGCUUGAGAGGCCGGAGUGAUGACCAGAAUUCUGUCAACCAGACCAAAGACAAUCAACUGAUGAAGUGUUGUUGUUCUCUAUAUUGAUUGUUGGAAAUUAUGUGUUAUUUCCAGAUUUUUAGAAAAUUAUGAUUGCUGGAAAUAAUUAUAUAUGUACAAUCAUUAUGUCCUCCAGCACAAGUGAAUUUCCAAACCCACAACUGAAAGCUUGCGAAAAAUUUGUAGAAAAUUUGUACAUCAAAUCCACAAGCUAAGUGUUGUAUCAGAAUAUGAAUGACAAUAAAACAAAAAUCUGUGUUCUUCAUUCUUAAAAUACUAAUACAAUACAAGUACAUUCUUAUUCUGAGAAAUAACUACCUAUUAACUCCAUAUUCAUUAUCUUGUUGAAAGAGUAGCUGCUGAAAAUGUCCAUGUCGCUGAGCUUGUAUGUGCUAUUAAAAAAAAAUUAAACAUCUUGUUGUCAUCCGAAAAAAUAAAGAAGGCAAGAUGAACAAAUAAAAAACUUAUCACUACUUACGGUGCAAGAAUUUUAUGUAGAUAUUGAAUAAACAUUAUCCUCAAUUAUUUGUCACAAUAAUUUAUAUUCAAUUCAUGGUGUGUUGCAGCAAGCUUCCAUUGUUUAACUAAAUGACAGCUGAAUCUUUACAACUAAUUAUCUUUACAAUCAAAUUUGGAAUUAAUUAAGCAAAUUACCGCUAGAAAUCGACGAGUGAAGCUAAGAGAGUGAGGCUGCAAGUCGAAUUUUUGAGACAGCCGAGAGAGUGAGGCGCUGUGAGAGAUGCAAUGGACGGGCGAGAGAGAGACGAAGCCGAUGGUGAUUGCUGCAUUGGUAGGAUUGAGGGAGAGAGCGAAAGAGCCAGAGCGUGCGUGCUUGUUCUGCCAGAGAGCGCGUAUGUUUUUUCUCAAUGCGCGUGUUGCGUAAUUAUCCAUCUACAGUGACCAUUUUAUAGUUAUCUUGAAACGCACCGUUCGGUGCUAUAUGUGGGGCUGAAUGUUGUGAGCAUAUCGGUGCUGUAUAUUUUAUUAAAAAUUAAUGCUAACAAGAAAAAACCCCUCAAUGAAUGAGGGUGAGAUUGCUAAAAAUUACGACAGGUGAUAUUUUAUUAUUAUUAUUAUUAUUGGGGGAGAAAUCCUCACCAAAGUGAGGAGAUUUUAUCAAAAUCAAAAUAAAAAUAUAACAAGAACUGAAAGUUGGGCAGCCUAAAAGCUAGAUAAACUAAAAUUCAGGCGCCUAAAAACAACCUUAUGCAAAAGAGAAGCAACAUGAGACCGAUCAAGUAAAAGAAUCCACCGCAACACCUAAAUUGGCCAAAUUAUCUGUUGGUAUUACAAGUUUCUUGUUAUAAAAGUGUAGAAUGAAGAAGGUGACGUAGUUUUAAGUUACAGCUGCAUGCCCGAUCGCAAUAUCAAAUAAUGAUUAAAUAUCAAAUAAUACUUAAAAUAGUUGCCUAGACCCGCCACAAUUUAUAUUAACUCUUAAAUUUAUAAAUAAUUAAAUUUUUAAAAGUUCGGAUUUAUAUUAAAAAAUCUUCAUAUAAAUAAAUAAUAUAUGCACUUUUACAACACAGUCUUUAAAUUUAAAUUUUUCUAGAAAAAUCUUCUGUAUAUCUUUUCUAUUAAAAAAUUUCCAUAUAAAUAAAUAAUAUACCUAAUUUAAUUGGACCCAGCGCAACGCAUAUGCAUAGAACACAUUCCGAAAAGCCAUGAUAUUCGGAAAUUGACGAAUGAAAAGUGAGGAGGCAGCAGUCAAUGCUAUUUCGGCUUGGCCCAAAAUUGAUUUAUCAGUUUGACGUGUGCCAGGAAUGAAGAACUGGAAUAUCACCAUCAAGCAAGCAACCUGCGGAGCAAUACCAUAGAAUGCACAAUCCGGCUUUGCAAGGUGACACUGGAGGCUUUUUGAAAAGUGCUUCACGCUCACUUGACAGAUUGAGCAUCCCCUCUGGAUAUUGCCCUCUCUGAUCGAAUCUGAGCACUCAAAUUUCGGUCCUCAGAUGGAGCUACAGCUUUCUCUCCAAUAACCAACAAUUUUCUAAACUCAGCACCUAGUGUGAUCAGAGUUGUUGAUAUUUGUAAAUGGAGAUCCCCGUAUUUGCAAAUGGAGACAUUUACCAAAUCACCAACAUGCUUCAUCCAGUCUACGAAAUUCUGCAGCUGAUUCAAAUCCGGAACCUGAACAAGAGUCGGAGGUAAAUCUUGAGCCAUAUCUAAAGCAGUCUGAAGUUCAAGUACUUGAGCCCUUGACAAUGGUUUUGAAAUUGGAACAUCUUGGAUUACUGCAGACUUGUGCCCCUUGGUUUCAAAGGUAAGGAAAGGCAUUGCUUGAGUACAAUUUGGAGGCAGCUUCUUCACCAAUUUUAUUUGGAGGCGAUUGGCAGCGGAUCCAGCUGCACCAAUUUCAGAGCAAAUACUGACACUACUUCGAACAGCACACUGAAGAAGUGAUAUGUCUACGGCAAAGGCAAUGCAGUCCUCAUUUUGGCUUGAGAUGCAGUAAUCAUCGAAGAGAGUUUCCUUGUGAAACUGGGCAACACAUUGAAUCCCUUCGCCACUGAGAAGGUUGCGGAGGAAGUAAGCUUUCUCUCUAGUGAGGAAGAGGUGGCAUACCUUCCCCAUGUCUAGGGCAGGUAGGAAUCUUUUUUCUAAGAGAUUUACUUCAUUCUCUGUGAGAAAUGCUUUGAACUUCAUCCCUCUGUCUCUAUCCUCACUUAUCAGUAAAAUAGUUGAAAGUGCUACAAGGAGAGAAAAGAAGAGUAUUAAGAUAUAUAUAGACAAGAAAAACAUUAGAUGUCGAUCUUACAAGCUAAUACUUCAAACAGUAUCCUAGAAAGCUAAAAACUGCAAAAUGGCUUGACAUUUGAAAAGAACACAUGCUUUUCCUCCUUAACUUGAGAAAAUGUUUAAUAUAGUGCACCUUACAGAAACAUUUAAGCAAUUAGAACUUUGCACAAAAAUAUUCAAGAAGACUAAACAAAUCAGAUGCAGUGUAUUUCUCCAAGCACAAAUGGCAUUGCAUUUUUUCCUCAACUGUAAUAUUUAUUGAUGAAAAUCAGUACAGGUCCCUCAUUUGUUAUGGAAAGCUUUCUUGUAGUCUGACUGGUUAAUUCACGGAUCUAUAAUUAUCUUGCAAAGUUACAGGCAUUUCUUUCGAUUUAAAGUCUUUGCAUCACCACCUCAUCACACACCUAGCCAAUAUUCCGUCUACUUCUACAACAAAAAGUUUUAAGUAAACGAUCCUAAUGCAUGCAGCCAAAUAAAAUGCAGUAAGAAUAUUCAACUUAAAACUCUGAAAGCCAUCUUGGUGAAUUGCCUCCUUAGGGGAAGUUCCAUGAUUUACUAUACUUGACAGGACUGAGCAAAAGCUUACAUACAACAGAUUUUGAAAAUGAUGAUGCCAAUAGAUACUCAUACAAUCCAUUGAAACUCCUAAGGUCCAUUGUUCACAGAGGUUUACAGAGUUUUGGUUAUCAAAUAGCUCAGACCUUAAUCCCAAACAAAAAACGAGUGAAAAUUAGAUCACCAGCAGCAAAUUGUAAAUUCUAACUUAACUCUUCAUCUCCUUUGUAAACAGGAGACAAAAUGGAGACACGCAAAAUGAAUAAGGAGAACAUUUGAACUCAAAUGAAAUGAGGGCACGAAAGCAAACAAAUGGCAUGCGCAAACAAACCAAGCCUCAAUCAAAAACUAAUUAACCAUUAAAAAACAAAACUGGUCAGCUUCUGGUGUUCUCAAAUUGUAUAACAAGAGAUCGACACAUCGAAUCAGAAGAACUCAAUUCAAAUUUGUCUCAAAAAUCAAAAUUAGAAGAUUUCACAUUUCGAGAGGAACAAGCGACAGGUCAGAUGCAAAAUUUUCAGCCAUAACAUGCCACAAUUAACGGUUUAUUUCCAUGGAUUUAGAGAGCUGACUGACCUUUUGGCUUUUGGAAUUGAGAAGAUCGCGCGCCAAAAUGGAAGAGGGAAAGCGAAAGUGCGGGUUUUAAUAGGGUAUUGGAUUAGCAAAUUUUAUUAGUUUGCGAGGGUAAAAUAGGAAAGUGAUAUCACUAUUAACCUUUUUUUUAAUAAGAAAAAAGAAUAAUAAAGAAUAUUUUAUUGUCAUUUGCAGCAUUUAUUUUUUUUAAAUGCUAUUAGAAAAAUACGACAACAAAGAAAUGCUCUUUUUUUUUUUUUUUUUUUUCUCGAAGGUAAAAUCAAUUAUUUAGCUCCUUAUAUGUAAUCAAACUACAUUUCUUACUUUAAGUCAUAUCCAACGGACCAACAAAGUAAUUAUUUUUUUUUUCAUUCAUUUUUGCAGAAAAUUAAUAACUUAAAAAUAUUGAAAGCUAUUGUAAAAUUUUUUAUUAUCAACCUCAUAGUUUUAUUUUUUGGGAAGAAUUGAAUUUUUUUUUUUAAUUUCCAAGAAUUUCAUUCUCUAGUUUUUCCAUUAAUAUUACUUAUCUUGAUACCCAUCUUAAUUAAAAUCUGUAGUUUUAUUCAAGAGUCAUGCUAUUCAUUCACUCACAGACCAAAGGCUUUCCGCAGCAAUAUUAUUAUUUAAAUUACAACAAAGGGGAAAUCAAAUACGUCAUACAGAAGCUUAAAGCUGAAUCUACAAAAUCUAGAGCUCUCAACUACAUAAAUUACACUUGAUGAUCCUCUACAAGAUGAAGCUUGUUCAAUAUCUCAUCCAAAGCUUGUAAAGUAACAUUAUAACGAUCUUGAGAUUGCCUGCCUUCCUCGACGACCUGCACGAUGCGUUUGUACAAAUCAUCAUACCUGUGCACCGGAUUUUUAAUAUCAAUGCCACUGCAGCUGUGAUCAAGAACAUAAGAGCGUUUAACAUCUUUUCUCCAUCAAGAAAGAAUGUAGUGAGAUGGGAUCUCCUGCAUGCCACUCUGGUUUAGAACACAAAGAAUGUGUCUGCAUAAAUAUCCUCUGAAAUUGAACAACCCACAAACACAAAGCACCUCCAAGUCGGAGGCAUUGUACAAAACAUCGAAAAUAGUUAUGUUUUACAAUCUAUUAGACAUAUUUUAUUAAAUUAAUAUAAAUUUUCUAUAAAAUAAGAAUAUAAUAUUAAAAUAAAUUCACAAAAAAUUAAAGAAUUUUGAAUGUAAAAUAAUUUUAAUAGAUUAAUACGUGAGUUUUUUUAUUAAUAUAAAAAUUAUUUAACUUUAAGAUUUUUUAAAAUCUUUACAAUAAGUAUGACUAUAUUAUUUACAUUUAAAAAUAUUUAAAUAUUAUUAACCUACAAUUAUAUUUGCAUUUGUUAGAAUUUUUUAAGUCAAAUAUUUUGCACUUCUAUAUUAUUAGAAUUAUUGCACACAAAGAAAGAAACAUAUACCUUUAGAAAUUGUUUUCUUUUAAAAUAGAGAUGAUGAUUAGUAUAAGGAUGAAAAAAAUGAUAAAGAAUAUUAAUGAUUAACGAAAUCUCUAUACAAAUUGAUUUUAGUAGGAAAAGAGUGAGAUGAAUGAUUUCUUUUACGGUUAGAAACAUAGAUGAUGAUUAUUAUAACGAAGAAAAAAAGAUAAAGAAUAUUAAUUAUUAAUGGAAUCUCUAUGCAAAUUGAUUUUAGUAGGAAAAAAAAUGAGUUAAAUGAUUUAGAGUGCGUUUGGAAUUGAGAUUGGGCAGCCAUAGAUUUUAAGUUACAAUACUGAAGUGUUUGAUAAAUACUAGCUGCUGCAGAUUGAAAGUUAUAUUGAUAUGAUUUUUCACAUGUAUCAUAGAAAAUAUAUUACAUCUUUAAUAAUUUUUUUAAAAUUUAUAUUUGCUAUAUAUUAUUAAUUUUUUUUUAUAGUUAUAACUUUUUUUCCACAGCAGUUGUAGCUUAAAAGUCACAGCAUCUCAAUCUCAAACAAAUCCUUAGACAUUCAUAGUGUGUUUAUUUUUUGGAUUGGUGAAUCAAAAUUAUUGACAACGCUAACUUCAUCUUCAUUGUUCGCAAUCCAACAGCAGCAGCAAUUGUCACCAAUAAUGAUAUCUCCAAUGAUGAUGACAAUUAUUAUUAUUAUUAUUAUUAUUAUUAAUUUAUUAAUUAAUAUAUUAAUGUUAAUAAUAUUAUUAUUAAGAUUAACAAUAAUUAGUAGUAAUACAAUUUUUUGAAUAAAAAUAAUCACAAUAAUUAAAAUACAAAUUAAUAAUUAUGACAAUAGUUAAUUAAUGUCUUUUUAGUAAUUUGUAAUAAUCUAACUCAUUUUGAUUCUGAUUAUUACAGCUUAAGUAAACAAAUUAUUAUGAUUCCUAUUUUCCUUUCCUAUUUUAACUCACUUCGAUUCCAAUCUAUUCCAAUUUCUAUCUAAUAAAUGCACCAUUAGUGCUAAAGUAAUAUUUCAUACAUAGAAAAAUAAAAACUACACCUAAGGUUAAGGGAAAGGACUUCAAAACUCUCUUUUGAUCAUAAUACAUUUUGUCCUAAUUAACUUAAAGAUUUUGAAUCUAAUAUUUUAUAAUAAAUAAAAAUAUAUUCCUAAAAUAAAUAUAAUAUCAAUAUUUAAAAUAUGUUUUAAUAUUUUACAAUCUAUCAUACACAUUUUAUUAUAUUAAAGUAGAUUUUAUAAUAAAUACAAACGUACUAUUAAAAUUAAUAUAUAAAAAAUUUAGAAAAUUUAGAAUAUUAUAUAAAAUAAUUUUAAUAUAAUGCGUGAGAUAUAUUUUAUUAAUUUAAAAUUUUAUUUUACCUAAAAAUAUGAUAAAUUAAUAAUUACAUAUUUAAAGUUAUUUCAAAUAUUAAAAAAAUUUAAUAUUAUUAGUUUUUUAGAUAGAUUAAAUUAUUUUUAUAAGAGAUAGAUUAAAUUAUUUUAAAAUACCUUAAUUGUUUUUACUUUUAACGUUACCGGCCUUUCUUUUAUUUUAUUGUAAAUUAAUGCUAACAAGAAAAAGCUAGAUCAUAUUCCACAAAAGCAAAAGUGACAAACACAAUCAGCUGGAAUCUUUUAUAAAACUACAAAUUAAAAUGGUUUUUUUUUUUUUUUGAUAAAUUACAUAUAAAAGUGGAUUCUUUUGAAUAUAAGUGGGGUAGGCUCUUUUAUUUUUUUUUAAUACUGUAUAACAAGAUUGUAGACUCCUUGAUUAAGCACAAGUAUAAAGUAGUCGAGACGAUACUUUAUGCUAGGUGUCCAUUGAAUAUUAGAUCUUCAUUUCUUUGGCCAUUUAAUUUUUUCGAGAAAUUUUUCUUACGAUCCCGGCUAAGCUUGAAGAAAAGACAACUCAACGGUUUUUUUAAAACAAGUUUCCGUUUUGGUUGGUGAAAUGAAAACGAAAUAAAGCACUUCCAUCCAAAAAUCAUUCUUCUGGAGAAAGGGAUGACAGAUUAAAGAAAAGGGGUGUACUGAAAGGAGAAAAAAGGUUCUUGCAUGAGAGCUGGACACGUUAAAAGAAGUUGAACAAAUGUCUCAAAAAGAAGCUAUUUCGCUUUCAUACUAAAGCCUAUUUGUAAUAGCAUCAGCAAUGCUCCACUAUCCACAUUCUUGUGCGGAUAUCAUUGCAAUCUACUAAUGGUAUAUAAACAUGCAUGUUGUCCCAUGAUGAUUAAGUUAACACACACUUGGAGGUACUUAAAUUAUGCCAUAAAGAGAUAUAGUUAUUACGCAUACAAAUGUUAUUCAAUGGUUAAAAUGUAUGAUAAAGAAAUCGCUUGAAUUUUUUAUUUGCCGUUACGUAAUUUUUUUAUUGAUUCCGAGUUUGAAUCUUAAAAGAAAUAAAGGGUUAGAAAAUUAAUUUGAACUUUGUCCACUCUUUAACUUAAUGAGUAUAAAAACAGAAAAUGCAGGUAAUUUAAUUUUGACAUCUAACAUUUAAGAGAUAGAGCUUGAAAGAGUCCAAUAUUAAAUUAUAAAAUAAUUGAAAUAAAGUUUGCCCCAUAAGAAAAAUUGAACAAAAAAUCUUAAGUAUGAUAUGAUGCUAGAGAAAUUAUUUAUCUCAAAACUUUUAUUAGGUAAUUAAGUCCUAAGAAUAUGUAAUUACACAUGUAACAAAAAUUAGAGAUGAGGGUCUUUUAUUAAACUACAAAUUGUAUAGUCUUUUUAAAAUUGUUAUAAAUUGGUGGCCCCUACAAUCCUCAAUAAUUGUGCCGAUAUUCACAAGUUGGUGGCCCCUACAAUUAUCAACUGUGCAAGUGCUCAUUCACAAUCUUCCAGGUCAUGCUCUUAAUAAUUGUUUUUUUUUUCUGCAUUCCCUUUCAUGCUCUUAAUAAUUGAAGAGCAUACUUUUCAAAUAUGGAGCCGCAGCUAAUGUCGCUAAUUUAAUUUGGGAUUAAAUUAGGGGACCAUUAUGUUGCAGUGUGCACUAAUUUUUGUGUUUAUCUAAACUCCUUAAAUUUAAGACAUAUUACGGCAUAAAUAAGAAUAUAACAAUAACAAAAGAGUUAAAAAGUGUAGAGAAGAUCUUGCAGAAAUAUAAAUAAUAUCUAUUUUAAAAUAAUAUCAAUAUUUAAAAUAAUUUUUAAUAUUUUAUGAUCCAUUAGAUAUAUUUUAUUAUAUUAAAGUAAAUUUUAUAAUAAAUAAAACAUACUAAAUUUAGAGUAUUUUAAGUAUUAUAUAAAAUAAUUUUAAUAAAAUAUGUGAGAUAUUCAUAUUUUAUUAAUUUAAAAUACCAUUUAACCUAAAGAUUUAUUUAUGAUAAAUUAAUAAUUAUAUUUUUGAAAUUACUUCAAAUAUUAAAAAAAUUAAUAUUACUAAUCUAUUAGAUAGAUUAAAUUAUAUAUAUUAUUUUCUAUUUAUUAAAAAAUUUUAAAAUUAUUUUUAAUUACUAUUCAAAAAAUAUAAUGAUAAAAAAAAAUCUUAACAUCUUUAUUAAAAAUUUAAAAAUUUUCAUGAUCAAUUCUCUAAAUAUUUAGGGUAUAUGUGAACCACGGUGGAGAAGCUUUAUUUAAUAUUAUUGAUUUAAAUAAUAUGUGACAAAACAACUAGGUGGACUACAAAUUAAAGUGGAUUCUUUUGAAUACAAGUGGGACAGACGAUUAGGCUCUUUUUAAUUUUUAUUAAAGGCAAGUAAAAAGUAGUCGAAUAGUCUUUUUCAAAUUCUUGUUUUAUUGUUUUUCAAAACUAACAAGAAAAAGCGAGAUCAUAUUCCACCCCAAAAGCAAAAGUGACAAAACAACCAGCUGUAUUCUUUUAUUAAACUACAAAUUAAAAUGGAUUCUUUUGAAUACAAGUAGGACAGACGAUUAGGCUCUUUUUAUUAAACGCAAGUAAAAAGUAGUCGAAUAGUCUUUUUCAAAUUCUUGUUUUAUUAUUUUUCAAAAUUAGUUUUUGGUAAUUACUGUUUUUCCUUCAAAAGUUAGCGGUUCAUGUUUGCAAGUGUGAAUGUGCGAUGCUCUUUUCUUAAAGGCAAUUACAGUGGGGCCCGAAUGCCUAAAUCUUUUUAAAAUUUUUGCCGUAUAACGAACAGAGGUCAUUACUAAAAUUUCUCUUCCACAGCCUACAGCAGCUUCAGUUUAUCAAACUCAAUCAAUUUUCUUUCUUAACAAAAUUCCAAAGAUGUGUAGCAUUUUUCAGAUCGCAUGCGAUGGUGCUCUUUUCAAUCGUUGCUUGGAUUGCUUUCUUGGAAAAGCAGCAUACCUUCGUAACCUCCCAGAUAAUCUUGUAGACUUGGAGACUGAACUGGGAAGACUAAUCGCAGCAAAGAACGAUGUGAUGAUGAGGGUUGUCAAUGCUGAACGGCAACAAAUGAGAAGGCUGGGCCAAGUGGAAUGGUGGGUUUCGAGGGUGGAUGCUGUUAAAACUGGAGCCGAUGAACUUAUCACAGACGGCUCUGAAGAAAUUGGCGAAUUAUGUGUUGGAGGCUACUGUUCCAAGAACUGCAGGUCAAGCUACAAGUUCGGAAAACAAGUGGCUAAAAAGCUACAAGAUGUGAAGGCUUUAAUCGCCGAGGGAGUUUUUGAGGCGGUGGCUACUGAGGUGGUGCCCGAGAGAGCUCCGGAACCUGUAGCAGAUGAAAGACCCAUUGAGCGAACAGUAGUAGGCUUGCAAUCACAACUUGAACAAGUCUGGAGAUGUCUUGUAGAAGAAUCAGUGGGAAUCAUUGGCCUAUAUGGUAUGGGCGGUGUUGGUAAAACCACACUGUUGACCCAUAUCAACAAUAAAUUUCUUGAGAGUCCCACCAACUUUGAUUGUGUGAUUUGGGUCGUAGUUUCAAAAGACCUGCGACUUGAAAAAAUUCAAGACGAUAUUGGGAAGAAGAUAGGUCUGUCUGAUGAUUCAUGGAAGAAUAAAAGUUUUGAGGAGAAAGCUGUAGACAUCCUGCGGAGUUUAGGAGAGAAGAGAUUUGUAUUGUUGUUAGAUGAUUUAUGGGAGCGGGUUGAUUUAACAAAAGUGGGCGUUCCACUUCCCGGACCACAAAAUACUACCUCAAAAGUCGUAUUCGCAACCCGUUUCAUCGAUGUUUGUGGUAGCAUGGAAGCUGACAGGAAGUUCCUAGUGGCGUGCUUAUCAGAAAAGGAUGCUUGGGAACUGUUUCGAGAAAAAGUUGGGGAAGAAACUCUUCAGAGUCAUCAUGAUAUCGUUGAGCUAGCCCAAAUUGUGGCCAAAGAGUGUGGUGGUUUGCCACUCGCACUUAUUACUAUUGGUCGAGCUAUGGCCUGCAAAAGGACAGCCGAGGAGUGGAUACACGCAGUUGAAGUGCUAAGAAGAUCAGCUUUUGAGUUUGCAGGUUUGGGAAAAGAGGUGUAUCCUCUUUUAAAGUUUAGCUAUGAUAGUUUGCAGAAUGAGACGAUUAGAUCUUGUUUCUUAUAUUGUUGUUUAUAUCCCGAAGAUUAUGGAAUUCUUAAAUGGGACUUGAUUGAUUGUUGGAUUGGUGAGGGAUUCUUAGAGGAAUCUGACAGGUUUAGUGCAGAAAACCAAGGUUACUACAUUGUGGGCACUCUUAUUCAUGCGUGUUUACUAGAAGGGAUAGAAGAUGAUAGAGUAAAAAUGCAUGACGUUGUUCGUGAUAUGGCUCUAUGGAUAGCUUGUGAAAUUGAGGAGAGGAGACACUUUUUGGUUUGUGCAGGCGCUGGAUUAGAACAGGCACCGGCUGUUAGAGAAUCGGAAAAUGUGACAAGAUUGUCAUUGAUGCAAAACCAAAUUAAAAUUCUGUCGGAGGUUCCCACAUGCCCUGAUCUCCUCACUUUAUUUCUUGACUUUAAUGAGGAGUUGGAGAUGAUCGCGGAUGGCUUCUUCCAAUUUAUGCCUUCUCUCAAAGUUUUGAAGAUUUCAAACUGCGGGAAUUUUACUUUUCAAUUACCUUUGGGGAUGUCAAAGUUGGGUUCACUAGAACUUUUUGAUAUUUCACGCACCGAAAUACAAGAGUUACCAGAAGAGUUAAAGUUGUUGGUAAAUCUGAAAUGUUUGAAUUUGAGGUGGACAAGCAAGUUAAUUAGAAUUCCACGGCAACUAAUAUCAAAUUCUUCAGGGUUACGUGUGUUGAGAAUGUUCGCUACUGGCUAUGAAUGUUUUCAUGAAGCACCAGAAGACAGCGUUUUAUUUGGUGGGGGUGAAGUUUUAGUACAGGAAUUGCUCGGUUUGAAAUAUUUAGAGGUAUUGGAGUUGACCUUGGGAAGUUAUCAGGCUCUCCAAAUCUUUUUGAGCUCAAAUAAGUUAAAAAGUUGUAUUCGAUCUCUUUUCCUCCAGUUGGCCGGAGAUACAAAGUCGAUUAUUGAUGCUGCGGCUUUCGCAGAUCUAAACCACCUCAAUGAAUUAUAUAUUUAUGAAGGUAUUGAGUUGGAAGAAUUGAAGAUUGAUUAUACAGAGAUAGUACGAAAAAGGCGGGAACCUUUUGUUUUCCGCAGCCUUCACCGUGUUACCAUAUUUAGUUGCGGUAAAUUGAAAGAUGUGACAUUCCUCGUUUUUGCUCCAAACCUCAAGUCUCUUGAGCUAUUGCAAUGCGAUGCUAUGGAAGAAAUAAUCAGCGUCGGAGAAAUUGCUGAGACUCCUGAGAUGAUGGGACACAUAAGCCCUUUUGAAAAUCUCCAAAGUCUUCAUUUAUCGUAUUUACCAAUUUUGAGGAGCAUCUACUGGAAGCCAUUGCCUUUCACUCAUCUCAAAAAAAUGGAGGUACGUAGAUGCGAUCAGCUUAGAAGGCUUCCGCUCGAUUCCAACAGUGCAACAGAGCGUAAUGUUGUUAUUCGUGGAUACACACUCUGGUGGAACCGACUUCAAUGGGAGGAUGAAGCCACUCAAAUUGCUUUUCGUUCCUGUUUCCAACCUCGUUCCUGAGCAGUGGUCGCAAAAUUUGAUUUCUGGUGAGUGCGUUUGUCUUUUAAAAAGAAGAAUUUAAAAGAAAUUUAUUCUUGUCGUUUUCUUCACUGUUUUUAUUUGAUUUCUGGUUAGUUUCUUUCUCUCUCUCUCUCUCUUUGUCUUCUGCAAAUCACAAUUAAAUGUUGAAUUAAUGGAAUUGAUGCUCUGGUUUUUUACUUUUUGUUGUCAAAUUUUGCCCUGUUCUAUCUUCUUAGCGAUUUAAUUUCCUGUCAAAAGACGAGCGAGAAGAACAUAUAUAUGACUUAAACCAAUUGAUACUUUAUUUAUGUGCAUUGUAUGUAAUAAAUAUUAAGUAUACUUUAUUUUUGCCCUGUUCUCUGUUUUUAUUUCAGUCUCUCUCUCUCUUUCCUGUCUUCUGCAAAAUAUAAUCAAUUAUUUUCAAAAUAUCAUUGAUGAUUUUUCUGCUCUAAUGCUAUGUAAAUAGUAUGUUAAGUAAAACAUAAUCAAUUAUUUGUGUUUUAUCUCUAAUUAGAACAUCAAUCAGUUCAGUACCUCACAAAUAAUUCGCAAUAUCUACAAAAUACUAUAAUGGCUACAAAACAAAUCCUGCUUGCAAAUUGUCAAGGAUACCUAUCCGUUCGCUUGACAAGUCAUUUGAAUAAAUAUUGUUCACAUUCCUUACUCUAUCAAUUAUCCAAAGCACCAUCAAUGGUCCUCAACUUUAGUUUGAAUAGUAUACAUGCCAUCACCAUUACCAAGAAUCAAGCAUGGAAGAGUCAUUCUAUAGAGUUAAUCGAAGCAAGGAAUGAUGUAUCAGAAAAUAUUUGGUGGAGAAUUCAGCACAAACAUAUUUUGGAUGAUCAGAAUCAAUAAAACCUGGUGGUUGCGCCAUAUAAACAUCUUCGGAAAGCUGACCUUGAAGAAAGGCGUUAUUGAUAUCCAAUUGACGAAGAGGCCAGCCAUGACUAACAUCAAUACUAAGAACAAGCCGUACUGUGGUGGACUUAACAACUGGACUGAAAGUGUCAUAAUAGUCCACACCAGGCCAUUGAUUGAACCCUUUGGCAACAAGAUGAGCUUUAAACCUGUCAACAGAACCGUUGGAAUGUCUUUUAAUACAAAAAUCCAUUUGCAGCCAACAAUAUUGGAAGGGAUGGGAGGUGGAACAAGCUUCCAUGUCCCGUUACGAACAAGAGCAUCAUACUCUUCUGACAUAGCUGGACGCCAGUGAAGAUUUUUGAUAGCUUGCGUCACAGUUGUAGGUUCACAAUCAGAAGAAGGGCUAAAAUGAGCACGGAGGUUAAGUUUUUGUAACGGCUUGUGAAUCUUAUUUUUAGCUCGGGUAGUCAUAUCAUGAUGACUUGUGGGGCAAUGAUCUAGUGGAGUUUAGGAAGAUGAUUGAACAGGAAGUGAAGAAGUGCUUUGUGUAGAGGUAGAAGUAGGUUGGGAGGAUUGCUGCGGAGAUGUUACCGGUAGAGAAGAAGGAGCAGUACACGGUGGCAACUCCAGAGGGCCCACAAUAGAUGGAGUAGGUGCCGACAAUGGAGUACUAGGAAAUGAAACAGGAAGAAUUGGUGGAACACUUGCGUAAUUAGGAGUGGUAGAUGAGCUUGUAAUGAUUUGUAUGGAAAAACAAACUCUACAAAUUUAACGUGACGUGAAAUAAAAAUUCAACCCGAUUGCAUAUUUAAGAACAUCUCAAAUGAAUUGCUUACUGCUAUCAUCAUCAUUAUUGUCUAUAUAAUAAUGGAUCUUUAUUAUAUAUAUGUUUCCACUAAAAUAUAUUUAAUUAUUCUUUAUUUUUCUAUUGUUGCGUGUAAGAUUUAUUUGAGUUCUAAGUUAUAUCAAUACAAAUGUUAUCUUAUCCAUAAAAAGUUAGAUCCAACAAUUAUGAAAAUUACUAUAGAGUUGCUUUCAAUUAUUUUUUUAAAAUACCAGGAGUAAAUAAUAAUUAGUUCAAAUGGUGGAGACUAAAAUGCGUUCACCUUUAUUUUUUAUCUGUUAUUUACUUUUGUCAUUACAUUAAUGCACAUGCUAUACAUUUGAGACAUUCCAUUAAUUGCCAAUUAUGUAUGUGAGAUAGUAAUUUAAAUUAAAAAAUAAAAGUGAAAGUUAAUCCUAUGCAAUGUGAAUAAAUUUCUUUCCUUUUUCCUUUACUCUUUUUAUUUGACAAUAAAGUUUCCAUCUAUCAUCUAUCAUCUAUGUACACAAAAUUUCUGCAACAAGUACAAAACAUAAAAAUAUAUGAAUAUUAAGGGAAACACGCAGAAGUUCAUCAUUUCAAUGUUCAGUAUUACCAAUUUUGGCAUUAAGCUUGUACGAAUAUAUUCUACUUCGAAAGCAAAAUAUUAGACUCGUGAUUUUAAUUCAUUCAUUAUCUCUCAUUUUAAUCCCAAAAUAUUCAAGAGUAUCCAAGUUACCAUAAGACUUCAGAGGCUCGAGCCUUAGCCAGAGAUGGUUAAUUGAUAGACUAUGUGCCUGGGUCGAGCACUGGAAGCCUGCAAUGCAGACUGAUUGAUUUAUCAGUUUAACGUGUGCCAGGAAUGAAGAACUGGAAUAUCACCGUCAAGCAAGCACCCUGUGGAGCAAUACCAAAGAAUGCACAAUCUGGCUUUGCUAGGUGACCCUGGAGGCUUUUUGAAAAGUGCUUCAUGCUCACUUGCACAGAUUGAGCAUCCCCUCUGGAUAUUGCCCUCUCUGAUCGAGUCUGAGCACUCAAAUUUCGGUCCUCAGAUGGAGCUACAGCUUUCUCUCCAAUAACCAACAAUUUUCUAAACUCAGCACCUAGUGUGAUCAGAGUUGUUGAUAUUUGCAAAUGGAGAUCCCCAUAUUUGCAAAUGGAGACAUUUAACAAAUCACCAACAUGCUUCAUCCGGUCCACGAAAUUCUGCAACUGAUUCAAAUCUGGAACCUGAACCAGAGUCGGAGGUAUAUCUUGAGCCAUAUCUAAAGCAGUUUGAAGUUCAAGACCUUGAGCCCUUGACAAUGGUUUUGAAAUUGGAACAUCUUGGAUUACUGCAGACUUGUACCCCUUGGUUUCAAAGGUAAGGAAAGGCAUUGCUUGAGUACAAUUUGGAGGCAGCUUCUUCACCAAUUUUAUUUGGAGGCAAUUGGCAGCGGAUCCAGCUGCACCAAUUUCAGAGCAACUACUGACACUACUUCGAACAGCACACUGACGAAGUGAUAUGUCUACGGCAAAGGCAAUGCAGUCCUCAUUUUGGCUUGAGAUGCAGUAAUCAUCGAAGAGAGUUUCCUUGUGAAACUGGGCAACACAUUGAAUCCCUUCGCCACUGAGAAGGUUGUGGAGGAAGUAAGCUGUCUCUCUAGUGAGGAAGAGGUGGCAUACCUUCCCCAUUUUGUCUAGGGCAGGUAGGAAUCUUUUUUCUAAGAGAUUUACUUCAUUCUCUGUGAGAAAUGCUUUGAACUUCAUCCCUCUGUCUCUAUCCUCACUUAUCAGGAAAUAAGUUGAAAGCACUAUGAAGAGAGAGAGAGAGAGAGAGAGAAUUAAGAUAUAUAGACAAGAAAAUAAUUAGACGUUGAUCUUACAAACUAAUACUUCAAGCAGUAUCCUAGAAAGCUAAAAACUGCAAGAUGGCUUGAAAUUUGAAAAGAGCACAUGGUUUUCCUCCUUAACUUGAGAAAAUGUUUAAUAUAGUGCACCUUACAGAAGCAUUUAAGCAAUUAGAACUUUGCACAAAAACAUCAAGAAGACUAAACAAAUCAGAUGCAGUGUAUUUGUCCAAGCACAAAUUGCAUUUUGUCCUCAACUUUAAUAUUUAUUGAUGAGAAUCAAUACAGGUCCCUCAUUUGUUAUAGAAAGCUUUCUUGUAGUCUCACCAGUUAAUUCACAGGUCUAUAAUCAUCUUGCAAAGUUAAGGGCAUUUCUUUCGAUCUAAAGUCUUUGCAUCACCACCUCAUCACACGCCAAGCCAAUAUUCCAUUUACCUCUACAACAAAAAGUUUUUAAGUAAAUAAUCCUAAUGCACGCAGCCGAAUAAAAUGCAGUAAGAAUAUUCAACUUAAAAAUCUGAAAGCCAACUUGGUGAAUUGCCUCCUUAGGUGAAGUUCCAUGCUUUACUAUAGUUGACAGAACUCAGCAAAAGCUUCCAUACAACAGAUUUUGAAAAUGAUGAUGCCAAUAGAUACUCAUUCAAUCCAUUGAAACUCCAAAGGUUCAUUGUUCAUAGAAGUUUACAGAGUUUUGGUCAUCAAAUAGCUCAGACCUAAUCCCAAACAAAAAACGAGUGAAAAUUAGAUCACGAGCAGCUAAUUGUAAAUUCUAACUUAACUCUUCAUCUCCUUUGUAAACAAGAAACAAAAUGGAGACACGCAAAAUGAAUAUGGAGAAAAUUUGAACUCAAAUGAAAUGAGGGCACGAAAGCAAACAAAUGGCAUGCACAAAAAAACCAAGCCUCGAUAAAAAACUAAUUAACCAUUAAGAAAAAAAUUGGUCAGAGAAUGAACUCCAAAUUCAGGAGUCAAGCAAGAAGCUUUCAUUAUUUCAGAAGCUCCUGUACAAAUUAAUAAGUUAUGCUCUUUGGAAGCAAACCUAAAUUCCAAGAGAAACAGAACCCAAAAAAUUUGCAAUUAUACGCAAAGGAAGUGAAGCACAGGAUUCUAUCACACAUAGGAAUUGUAUAACAAGAGAUCGAUAUAUCGAAUUAGAAAACUCAAUUCGAAUUUGUGUCAAAAAUCAAAAUUAGAAGAUUUCACAUUUCGAGAGGAACAAGCAACAGAUGAAGUUCAAAAUUUCAGCCAUAACAUGCUAAAAAUGCUACACUUAACGGUUCAUUUUCAUGGAUUUUCUCGGGAAACAAACAGAAAAUUACGGUUUAGAGAGUUGACUGACCUUUUGGCUUUUGAAAUUGACCAGAUCGCGCGCCAAAUUGGAAGAGGGAAAGUGAAAGCGCGAGUUUUAAUAUGGGUAUUAGAUAAGGAAAUUUUAUUAGGUUGCGAGGGUAAAAAAGGAAAGAGAUAUCAUUAUUUUAUUAUCGAUAAUUAUUAAAUUUUUUUCCAAAAAAAAGAACAAGCAAGGAUUUUUUAUUGUCAUCACUAAGUUAAAAAAAAUUGUUUCAAAAUUACUUGAGUCAUAUCCAAUGGACCAACAAAGUAAUCGUUUUUAUUUUUAUUGAUUUUUGCAGGAAAUUAAUAACUUAAAAAUACUGAAAGCUACUGUAAAAAUUUUUAUUAUCAACCUCAUAAUUUUUUUUUUUUGGGGAAGAGAAUUCAAACUUUUUUUUUAUGAAUAUCGCUGUUUCGUUUGAGUUGGAUGUGAAUUCAAAUCCAAAUAUUCUUUGUUUUUCAAUUUUGAACUCAAUUUCUUUUUCUCAAGAAUGUUAUGCAGAAAUAAUUUUUACUAAAUCUUUUUUGAUGAAUUGUUUAAAUUAAACAAUUGGAAUAAGAAUUGUAACGAUUUAUCAUAAGCGUGCUAAUAUGAUAACUUGUUUUACGAAGGAUUAAUUAAUCAAUUAAUAUUAAAUUAUAUAUUAGUCAAUUAGAUAUGUGUUACAUUUAUCAUGUUUUGUAGGUGAUAGUACAUCAUUUCUAAAAGAAUAUAGUACGUUAAAAUAUUAUUUUAAUGAAGAAAAUUUUAUUAUUUUAUUAUUAGGUGACACAAUAAUAAAUGGAUUUCUGUAAGAAUUGAGAUUCUUGAUAUAAUUAUUACAUAAGGAGAAGUUUAGUUGGUUCAAUUUUGACGUGAUAAGAAGACAACACAGCACAGAAAACCCAAAUUGCCACUUCCACUAAUAAAAGAUACCUGUUUGAAAAGUAAUUAUAAACUAUCUUCUUUGUGUUAUUUCUCAAAACUUUUGUGGCACAAAUGUUAUUUCCAUUGACAACAGUACGAAAUACCACCCCUUUCACUUGAGCAGGAGCAAAGCAAAGGUAUGAUGAGCUAUCUCUGUAUAAUUGAAACGCCAUUACUAAACGAUUCUUGAUGAUGGGAGCCACCGUGCCAGCUUUGUCGCUGAUUUGCAUGAUUUAUUAGUUGUCCAGAUGGCGGAUUUUGUACUGUUACCUUCGUUUCAUUCUUCAGAGCCAUGUACUGUUCUAGGAUACCAGAGAAACCAAGGUGGCAUUGAAGUUGCCCUGGUGGUUAGUUUUCCGAUCAUUUUUUUAUUCAAUUAUUUAUGUUUUUAGAAAAAUGUAGGAAAUAUGUAGAAAUGUUGACAGCUAUGAUUUUGAAACUUUUGCCUAAAAUUGUUAUCAUUACUUGUUGUUUCUUAUUUAAAGAGAAAUUCUAGAAACAUGAAAUGAUUAUUCUACGCUUGUUUUAAUAUUGUGCUAUGAAGAUUACGAAGGUUUGAUUAUAUGUCACUAUCAAUUGCCUUAAUCGUUUGUCGUAAAUCAAUUAAGCAUUUUGAUGCGAAUGAUUCCCUAUUAAAAAAUUCAAGUCAGAGCUGAAUUGCAAAGUAGUUAGUCGUGCUUGCAAUUCAAAUUAAGUAUUGUAUUUUCUCCCUGAUUUGGUUGAUUCAACUAUGUGCAUUUGCUUAUGAACGUUGCAGUAUAGAAAUCGAAAUAUCUUGUCUUUUGCUAAGCCCAGAAGCAAAUUCUUUGUAUUCUACUCAUCAGUUUUCUUCAUUCUCUUUGUUGAAAUUUUAUCUAAACAGCGGUUUCUUCGAAUUUAUGCCUUCGCUUACUCUUUUAAAUUUUAUCCAAACAACGGUUUUGAAAUUGUUUUCACUACAAUACCUUAGUCUUUCAGAUGCUCCCGUCACUGAGUUGCCAGAAGAGCUAAAAGCCUUGGUAAAUCUUAAGUGUUUGAACCGGAGUACACAAAUUAUCUCUCUACAUUUCCAAAGCAAUUGAUUUGUUACUUUUCGAUGCUACAUGUUCCGCGAAUAUUCAGUUGUGGUUAUCUUGUUCAGAUACCAGAAAAUAGCGUUAUAUUUAGUGGUAAUGAAUUCUUGGUUUGGGAGUUGCUUAGUUUAAAACGUUUAAAUGUAUUAAGCAUCAUCUUGAAAAGUUUUUCUGCUGUCCAAAAACUUAUGAGCUUCCAAAAGUUUCAAAGCUGUACACAAUGCAUGGAGCUUGUAGACUGUGAUGAUCCAAAGUCAUUUGCCGUGGCAGAGUUGAAGCAUCUUGAAAAACUAGGUUUUUCAAGUUGUGGAAAUUUGGAAGAGUUAAAGUUCUGCUGUGUCGAAGUUGCAAAGGCUCGAGAAUGUUUUCGUUUGAACAGCCCUCACUGAGUUAAGAUGAAGGCUUGUCAUAAAUUGUGGGAAGCGACAGGUUAUUCAAAUAGAAAAAUUUAUGGAGAUGGAUGUUAAUCUUAAGGUUAUUCAAUUAGAAAAAUUUGAAUAAAAUUUAUGGUAAGUGCUUUUCCAUUUAUUGCAUAUUUAUAUCUAAUUUUUAUUUUCCUUUAUUGUUAAAUUUUGGUCUCUAUUUGUUGUUGUAUGGUGGCAUUCUUGUACAAUUAUUAGCUUUUCAUUUCUCUUCUCACAUUAACUGCCCUUCUGAUCAUGUAGGAUUUGCUGAUGCAAAGAGUCAUAAUUUGGGAUACAAAUGUAAGAAUUAGACAGAUGACAUGUUGUUUUGAAGCUCUCAAAGAAGGACUAAUUAUGUCAUUGAAAGCCUCCAAUUUUGUGAUUGGUUUCUUUUUAUUUUAUUUGUUGUUUUCUCUAUUUUCAGAUCACUUAAUUGUUAGUUGUUGUAAUGUAAUGUUUUAGUAUAGCAAAUUAUAUUCGGCCAAGACAGUGAUAGGAGGGCACAUUGUGCAUGCACACUAGUGGAUUUGGCAUGCCAAAUCCAAUUAGGAUGGAUAACACUUUAUAAGCAUUAGGCUUCUCUCAUACCUGAGUAAUAUAGAAUAUGUUUAUAAGUUGUGAAUCACCCUUUACAAGUGUUAGGCUUCUGCUAUACUCAGUGAUGUGAAAUAUAUUUAUAAGCACUAAACUUCUCCCAUACACUUUAUGUUAAUAAUAAUAAUAAUAAUAAUAAUAAUAAUAAUAAAAUAAUAAUAAAUAAACCCAUUUUAACAGACUCUUUUUUCUUUUUCUAUAUGAACAAAUGCAUUCUUCAAAGCAACUGUGGGGAGAAGAAGUGAGUAGAGAAGAACUGAGCCCCUGUCAUUCCCCUAAAACCUCACCAAAACCUCUCUUGUAAGCUUCUCGGAUUUUCUUUCUAUAUUUCUUAGGAACUCAUUUUUUAUUGAAUCACUUAUUUUGCAUGCUGCAUUUUUUGGUUGUCGUAUUUGUGUAUUAUCUUAUCUGGAAUGCUGUUAUGAUUGAUGGAACAAGUAAUCGAUUUUUGGUCUAAUGGAAGUUGAUUUAUUUAUUUAUUGUUGUUUUUAUUUGAAAUUAUGUACAAUUGUAUUUCAUUCAUUUCUCUCUCUUUUGCUUUUUUCCCCCCAUAUAUUUGUUAUGUAUAAUUGCGUUUCAUUUAAUAUUGAUCAUACUGUAGGUAACCAUGUGAUUGUAGAUGGGGAUUUCGAGUUUGUUGAAUAUUCAUGUAAGUGAAGUAACCGUCACAAUACUAGUGAAAUUGGGAGCUUUAUUCAUGAGUUUGUGGUUUUGAAAAGUACCACAGUUCAACUGGUGAAGGCUCCGUUUUGGGAUUCUUCUUUUUCUAGGCUGCAAUUAGGAUAUGUACAUGAUAGACAAUCUUUUGUUGGUUUAGCAUAUCUUCGCUGAUUUUGUCUUUUAUUCCCCAAUUUUAUAAUUACACACCAUGAAUGUUGGGUGAUUGUAUAGAAAAUUUGUGUUAUAACAAAAACAUUGUGAAGGAGUUUCCGUGCUAAUAGUUAGUGGCUUCUGUUUUAUUGGCAUUGAUUGGGUAGAUUACGUGUUACAGUGAUUCAAUUUGUGUUCCAAACUUUGCUUUAAUUUUCUGUUUUCCCCAACUAUUUAUGUCAAAUUUAAAUCCAGAAGCAUGUGCUGAUUUUUUCUUUUUGUAUUAAUCUGUGAAGUUUAUUUGGAAUGGAAGUAACUGGGUCGGGUCUAAUGGAUUAAAUUAUGACAUUGAGGGGAAGGCACUAAAAGGGUUUGCUUGACACAUUUGGUUCUGUGUUUACUCUGCAAGAAAUAACUUUUGCUUAUUGCAAUGCAGGGGGAAAUCCCGAUUUGGCUGGUGAAUUUCUCUGCAACAAACAGGCAAACACCUCAACAUCUUCUGUCCAUACUUCUGCUGGGGAGGCAAGGGGUAAAGAGUCUUCAAAAUCAUCAAAUAGUUACAUCUCUGAGAAUUCAUUUUAUGGAAAUGGAAAAUCUAGAGUUUCUAAUACAAAAUGGCAUCUGGUAUCAGGACGUACCGUUUCAAGUUUUCUUGGUAAAGAUUAUGUUAAACCUGCACAGCCAGCUAAUGGCACUUUUCUGGCAUCAAAGCCAUUGAAGUUGGAUCCAAGGGAGUUUCGCAUUUCUGCACUUUCAGAGAAGAAACUAAACCGACAAUCAAAGGAUGACCAUUUGCAGAAGGAUAUGGAAGAUUUUCUUUUUAAAUUGCUAGGAGAAGGGUUCCAGCUGUACAGGGAUGUGAUUCAGG
Molecule: long non-coding RNA, 44301 nt
Filed under: Citrus x clementina
Lineage: Eukaryota; Viridiplantae; Streptophyta; Magnoliopsida; Sapindales; Rutaceae
Description: Citrus clementina (C. clementina) long non-coding RNA (CCLE_LNC001440)
Source: RNAcentral